This 72589-nucleotide long non-coding RNA is filed under the name Gossypium barbadense (sea-island cotton). Its description in RNAcentral is "long non-coding RNA (GBAR_LNC018981)". The record is from RNAcentral. Lineage: Eukaryota; Viridiplantae; Streptophyta; Magnoliopsida; Malvales; Malvaceae.
CGACUGACCUCCGUCACCGCAAUAGGUGGAAUUCAAGUUGAGCACGGCGGGAACAUGCGUAGUUCCAUUAUUGAUGCCAGUGGGUAAUGGGUAAGCACUACCGAAAGAGUACUUGCUAAAGAUGAAAGCAGAUGCGCAUCUUUUGCUGUCAGGAUACAUGGCUGUCAUGUUGACAGUAUAGGAAGUGAAAUUUGCAGUAAUUAGAGUAACGCAGCCAGAUUCAGAAGCACCAUCGUCAGACCUUAGUUGAAUGCAGCCGCCAAGUGAAUCACCUUCGUUACUUAAAAUAGUAGCCAAAUUUCCAAAACCUACUGACCCGAAAUAAUUCAUGUCACUUGAGAAGAAAAAUGGAGUGCCUGAGAGAUCCACACUCACACUAGCCUUAUUACAGUUAAUAUAAGUAACUGGAUUAUUGAUGAGAAUGGCGUCUGAAUAUAUGGAAUCAAGUAUCUCCAGAUCGAUGCCAUUUACGUUUUUGAAUGGCUUUACCCCAUUGAGGGUUGGGUUGCAAGUCACUCUAAACCAAGGUUUAGUAUAGCAGGUGCUAUGGAUUCCAAAAGGGGAUGGAAUUGUAAUAUUUCCACAUGCUUCUUUACCACAGGCAGUUUCUUGAGAUUCUGAUGCUUGUAAUGUUGGGCACAACAGGAAGAGGAGUAGGAGGAUGAAGUAAAGCGGUAAGUGAAAACCCAUUUGCGUUGUUAUUUGGUUUGAGGGAAAUCAAUGAAGAUUUAAAGAAACAAAGGAUGUUUGAGUGAGAAGCAAAUGAAAAGUAUUUGGUCACACUUUCCUUGAAGUUCCAGUAUAAGUGCAUUUGAUUUGAGAAUAAUUCAUUAAUUUGCAAAGACUGUUGGAUACAAUUUUCCAGCUACACGUAAGAGGUCUCCAUUCAAAGAAAUAAAGGGAAGAGUAGGAGGAUGAAGUAAAGCGGUAAGUGAAAACCCAUUUGCGUUGUUAUUUUGUUUGAGGGAAAUGAAUGAAGAUUUAAAGAAACAAAGGAUGUUUGAGUGAGAAGCAAAUGAAAAGUAUUUGCUCACACUUUCCUUGAAGUUCCAGUGUAAGUGCAUUUGAUUUGAGAAUAAUUCAUUAAUUUGCAAAGAUUGUUGGAUACAAUUUUCCAGCUACACGUAAGUGGUCUCCAUUCAAAGAGUAGGUUACGUAUAAAGAGUUAAGAGACAAAUAAAAGGGAGAGUCGAGCCUUAUAUUCCUUCAAAUAUUUUUACAAUAGCAUUAAGAAAUAAGGAUAAUUUAUGUUUCUCCCUUCAAAACUUUUAAAUAUUUCAAAUCAUAUUGUAAAAUAGAAAGCUUGAUACUAUAGAUUAAAUAAAAUCAUUUUUAAAAUUUUAUUAGUUAAUAUUAAUUUAAUUAUAUUAAAAGUGGAUGAAAGAAGUGAUAAAUAAACUUAAUUUAAAAUGAAGAUAUAUGUGGUUAUAAUCAAUUUUAAUUAAUUUUGUACUUUAUUUUUAUAUACAUAUAUUUAUAUUAAUUAUUAAGUUUAUACAAUCCAAGUUGUCUAUAAAGCUAGAAGGGAGGAGAUAACAAAGGGUGAGCAUUAUCCUUAAUGAGUUAUAGCAAAGGUGAUUGUUCUUUACAACAACUUGAGAAGAAAAUCCGAGGAAUGCCACUUUUGACGCUGUACAUACUCCAUGUUGCGAGAGGUAAAAAUAGUGUCCCAGCACUAGUAGUACUGCAACCUGUAUAGAUAUAAGAAACAUUGUUAAAGAUGAAUUUGAAAAUUAAAAUACAGGCUAAAAAACCAUGAAAAUUUUUCAAUAAAGUUUCAUUCAUAUUUGAUAGCCAUUCAUUUAAUGAACAAUGAGACAACCUUUUUACAUCAUUCAAUUGUUUUCAUAUUCAAUUUUUAUAAAUUUAAUGAUAAAUAACAGUUAUUGCAUCACGCAUCUAAAAGUAAAUAAAUUACUAUUUAAAUUGACAUAAAUUAAAUAAUCAUAAUGAUUCCACUUUAAAAAUAAGAAGUGUAAAUUCACCACACACCUACAAUAAAAUUACGAGUGUUUUGAAUUUGUACUUUGCGCUCGCAACAAAAUCCCAUACUAUUGUAUUCAUAACGAGGAGGGCAAGACUUAUGAAUUGAAAAAAAGAAAAGCUAUAAUCAGUUAAAGUAUUGAAUUAAAUUAUCAUUUUCUCCUUAUUCCACUCACAUCAUGGAUGUGCCUUAAAUUUGUAUUAUUUUUUAAAGAGAUAAUUGAAUUGGUGUCACCCAUCAAUUGAGCCUUGACUUAAUUGAGAAAUUAUGAAAAUCCAUUACUUUUAUAAAAAAUAAGUAUUAUUAUAAAAGUAUUUUUUUCAUUUUAUAUAAUAAGAUUACUUGAGUUUGAUCUCGAAAAAAAUUUGAAUUCGACUCGGUAAAUCAAGCUAAAUUCGAGCUUAGUAAUGCUUGACUUGAAUAGCUUGCGAGUCUUAACGAUCUUUUCAUAUUUUUAUAUUAUUAAGUUAUGAUAAUUCUCUUAAUUAUCAAGUCCAGAUCGAGUUUAAGUAGCUUGAUUAUAUAUCAAGUGAGUUCGAACAUAGAAACAAAUGUUAAAUUGAACUCAAACCAAAUAUCGAAUUCUAAAUUUUAAGUCGAACUUAACAAUAUUCAAACUAGACUAAAUUACCCCACUACCCUCUACAAGCUAAUCAGUAUAGCAAGUAUCUGCCCCCGUAAAAGGUGCAAUGCACCCCAUUUGCUCUCAUGGCAUCUUCUUCCCUAAUUCAAUGUACAGUAGAAAUUUCCAAGGAAGAUUUGCAAAGAAAGACGAUAAUCUGAACAUUAUUGACAAUUUCCUCACAAUCAAGCUAAAGUUUUCCUAUUCAGAAGCUUUUAUGGAAGAGUCAGCUCUCCUCAUCACAUACAAUCUUUAUCAUAUGUAAGUUUUAUGAUGGGAAACCACUCAGAAACCUUCUUUCAAUAAUAAUAGGAAAACAUCCAAGCAAAGUAAUGAAUGCUUUUUCACUUGUUUGCCAACUUACUUUUUUAGUUUUUAGAGACAAGCAAAACAUGAUUCAUUGUUUCUUAAACUCGUCUAAUUAGACACGGUUUACGCCAUAUAUCAUAUAUGAUAACAAAAGAAUUCUUUCUAUGUGAAAAAACAAUAGUCAAUAUAUUAAAUAGACAUUGAGUAUUAAGCACAAAUUGCAGAUUUUAGUGAGACCGAAAUGUUCUCCAGUUUCAUCAAAUGACACAAAGCUAGAGGAAUAUGACCAGUCACUACACCAGAAUAGGCUUUUAGCGGCACUUUUAGCGGCGUUUUUAACAAAAGCGCCACAAAAAAUGGAGCAUUAGCGGCGAUUUAUACCAAGCGCCGGUAAAGGUCGCGCAUCCGCGGCGAUUUCAAACAAGUGCCGCUAAAACUAGGAAAUAGCGUCGUUUUAUAUAAAGCGCCACAAAAAAACUAAAGACCAACGACGUCGUUUUUGCGAUUUUUAAACCUUUAGCGGCGUUUUUAUUUGUGAGCCACUAAUGCUCGCAUCUAUAGUAGCGUUUUUAUCUGAGCGCAGCUAAUUCCCCGAUCUUUAGGGGCGUUUCUAUAUGAACGCCGCAAUAUCUCUGGUCUUUAGCGGCGAUUUUAUUUCAGCGCCGCUAAUGCUUGCAUCUUUAGUGGCGUUUUAUUCUGAGCGCCACUAAUGCUCUUUGCAUUUAGCGGCGAUUUUGUAUAAGCAUCGGUAAUGCUCGGAUCUUUAGUGACGUUUUUAUCUAAGCGCCAGUAAUCCUCCGGCUUUUAGCGGCGUUUUUAUCUAAGCGCCGCUAAUUUAUUACCUUUAGCGGCGUUUUUCCUGAUGCGUCGCUAAUAGUAACAAAAAUCUUAUGAGUUGAAAUAAUUAAUAUUUUGUUAUUAUGUGGUACAAUUUACAUCUAAAUUAUAAUUAAAAAAUAUUAUUGAUUAAUACAAAAAGUUUUUAUUAAAGAGAAGUCGUAUAUGUAUAUAACAGCUAACUAUUUAUUACUAAUUUUCAAUCACUACAGUUGAUUUAAACUACUUUAUUACGAGACAAAAUAUAUUAAAUUAUGAAUAAAAAAUAUAAUAAAACUUAAAUUUUUGUAUUGUAAAGAAUAAAUUAAAAAUAGAAAUUAACUUUUGUAAGAGUAAUAAAUUUUGGUAGUACUGUUCGACUAAAUAAAUCAAAGGAAUUAAUAUAAAUUAAACACCAAUUUAUACAAAAUAUAUUUUAUGAUUAUAUAUAUAUUAAAGAUUUAUGGAAUUUUUUUAUGGACGGUAUUUUAAGAAGUUCGGGGUAUAGAUUUAAGGUUUAAGAUUUAAGGUUAAUUUAGGGUUAGAGGUUUAGGGGUUUGAGAUUUAGGGUUUCAACGGUCAUGUGUUAGGAUUUAAUUUAGAUUAAUAUUAGUUUUUGAUUAUUUUUUAUGGUAAAUAUAUAUGUUAUUAUAUAUUUGUAAAAUAAAUCCAGAUCAAUAAAUUUAAUAUAUUGAAGUUUAGUAUAGUUUAUAUUAUAAUUAAUAGAUAUAUAUAUAUAAUAGCCUUUACCGGCGUUUUAGUGAAAAACGCCACAAAUAUUGCAAUAUACGACGUCGUUACGCGUUAGGGAAUCAGUUUCUAUUGUGGCGUUUUAUAGAGAAGCGCCGCUAAUAGUCUUGAAACUCUGUCAGAACGGCGUCGUUUCAGUUGAAUGAUGUACUCUAUUACUGGCGUUUUUUUGGGAAAACGCCGCAAAUAUGUCAACUAUUUUGUGAAAACGUCAUCGUUUCUUUCUGUUGUUGAAAAUUUAGUGGCGUUUUUACGCAGAAACGCCGCAAAUGUGAGUUAUAAUUAAUUUAAACGGCGCCGUUUCUUUACAGGCCAUUUAACCCGUGUCCUCAUGUUUUACGAAUUUAUUAUCGAAAAAAAAUGCAUUUUAUAUACAAAAUUUUAUUAAAAAAAUUGUAUUUUAUAUAAAGAGACAAAAUUUGUUGUACCAAUUAAGUUUAUUAUAACAAAUUUUUUUUCCAUUUGUUAAGAGGACAUUUGAAGCUUCAUACGAAAUUUUGUCAAACAUAAUAUUGCUACCUUAUUUCAACUUUAUACAACUUUUUUAACUAUAUAUAUAUAACUUGUUGCUUAAUAGAUUUUCACUAUAUUUUUUAUUAUAUAUUAAAGAAUAUUUAUGGAAUAUUUUGGUCGAUGCAUGGUCGUAUUUUAAGGAGUACAGGCCGGUAUAUAUGAAUUUAAGGUUUGGUAUUUAUGGUUUAGGAGUUAGGGGCUGGGUUAUGCUUUAGGGGUUAUAGACGUGAAUUUAUGGGUUAGGGUUAAGGACAGGGUUAAUUAGGGUUUAGGGGGAUUUAAGGGUUAGAGGUUUUAGGGGUUUGGACAGGGUUUAUGGUUUCUUAAGAGGUUAAUUAAUAUUAGAUUGAUUAAAUUUGGAGGUCAAUAUAUAUGUUUUGAGAUAAAUUUAAUAUUAAGAUAAGUUUUGAGUAUAUAGGUAGAUGAUCUCUUUAUGCAUGUAGCUACAUAUAUAAAUUGAUUGGUUAAUAUGAAGAUUACAAGGUUAAUUUAUAAUUUGAGACUUGUUAAAUGAUACAAUAUAACUAAUAUAUACUAGUUAUAUAAUUAAAAACAUUUAACCCAAAUUAACGGCCAUUUGAUAUAUUUUUUGAUAUAUAUAUAUGGAUAUAUUAAUUAUAUAUAUGGAUAUAUAGAUAUAUAGAUAUUAAUUUAAGAAUUUGUAUAUAUAGGACCAAAAUAAUAUUGGUAUAAAUAAAUAAACAAAUAAAUAAGUAAGUAAUUAUUUAUUUGUUAAAUAAAUUGGUAAUUAAUUAUUUAAAUGUAAGAGAAAAAAAAUGAGAGUUUUAGCGGCGUUUCUAUAUAAAAACGCCGCAAAAGGUAUCCUUUACCGUCGUUUCAUUCAAAAAUGCCACAAAGAUUACAAUAUACGACGUCGUUACGUGUUAGGGAAUCAGUUUCUAUUGUGGCGUUUUUACACAAAGCGCCGCAAAAUUUACAUAACUUUACUUAAACGGCGUCGUUUCUUCAGAGGACAAAUUAACUCUCCUUCAGUGUCGUCCUCCAUUUACAGCAACUGGAAAUCACAGAGAAAUUAGGAGAGAACUUUUCUAAGUGUCGAAAGGGGGGAAAACUUUUCACGAAAAUACAAAGGAAAGAAACGUGCGAGCGAGUCGAUCUUGAAACAAGGUGGGCACAGCUGCGAGAUUUCUCCAUUGAAUAGGUAUGCCGUUUCUGUUCUUUUUUGAUUAAAAUUUUUGGGAUUUAGGUCAGUCUAAGUUAAUUGGGGUUUUAGGGUUUCGAUUAUAGAACAUUAAAAAUGUGGAUUUUGGGUUUUUGGUCAGUCUAAGUAAAUUUAGGGUUUCUUUCCGUGUUGCCUUAAUGCGUUGUUGCUGCUUCUUCCUCCUUCCUUAAACCCCUAUCCGACCCGAUUUGUGGAUUUCUGGUGAUAAUCCGCAAAGUCUUUUAGAAAAGCCGUACAAAUGCUUUUUGUAUGUGCUGCGAAUUAAUGUCAAAACACAGUAUUCAAUAUAGUUAAUCAUGAUUUAUUUUGAGAAAUCAUUAUUAAAAUUAUGGUGUUCGUUUUGUUUGAAUCAUCGAUUUCUUUAAUAUCCUUGCCUAUUCUGUUAUUCCAGCAUCCAUUUAAGGGGAAAUGUAUUAUUUCUUCAAUCCAUUACUGAAAUUGUUUGUUUAAUUUACUUUCAUAUUACUUUCAUAUUACUGGUUGAGUAAGUAAAUGUGUGAAUGUUGUUUGAGUAAUGCUUUUUCGGUAUUGAACUGGGUUGUUUGAUGUUAGACUUAAUUUAGGCAUACAAUAUAAUCAAUUUGGAAAAACGAUAGGUAGGCCACAUCAAUUCAGUAUUUACUGGAGAGAAUUUGUUAUGCCUAGUGUGCAUUAUCUGCGUAAUGUGAAUUCAAUUUGUAGUUAAGUUCGGUUUUGGUUAAUUUAUGAUUUAAAUAUAUCUUUAUUGUUGCUUAAUCAUGCUGUCAUAUAAGUAUAUGGUGUACUAUAUAUAUAUAUAUAUAUAUAUAUAUUGGUGAUGUUUAAUAUAUGAAAUUCGGCAUAACUUAUAAGUUAAAAUGUUUGUCAUAUGUAUUAAAACAUAUAUAAUACUUAGCUAUUUCACAUUGGUUAGGUGAUAUAUAUAUAUAUAUAUAUAUGUGUGAAAUGUAUGAUAUGCCUGAAUUUAACUAAUAAUUAAAUAUAGGUUAUGAUUUAUAGAUUGAAAUAUGCAAAGGUUGACUAGUACUUAUAACAGGUUUGCUAUUUAGAAAACAGGCUGUUAUUAGUAUUUAUAUUUGCAUUAUUUGCCUUUAAAUCUACUUUAUUUUCAAAACGUCCUUAACGAAACUGUUGCUAAUCAAAUGGGUAGCAAUUUUGACAAAAAUUGAGCCCCAUUUAAUUUGUCACCUUCUGACGUGGGGUGGAUUUUAUAAAUAUCUGCUUUAUAGCGUUGGGAAUAGAAUGAGUACCUUAUUACUUCAUCAAGCUGAUCAGUUUUGAUGAUAGGUUAUAAGCUGAUGUACGACUUAAAUGAUAUGGGUUUAAAUCAUUUAUGCAUUUAGGUUUUUUAGGGUUUUUAGUUUAGCUAACUUUGUGAGUAUCCUAUCCUGUUUUUUUUUUUAAGUUUUUUGGCUUCAAUUACUUCUGGUUUUUCGAUACUAAUGUAUUUCUGUCUUUUUGUUCCAGUAUUUGCUUCGCAAUUGAGGAAAUUUAAGGUAUUUAUUCCUAUGUUUCUCUAUUUAGUUUUCUUAUAAAAAAAAGUCAAAUUGUUAAAAAAAAAAUUUCUGUUAUUUUUUAGUUUUAUAGUUUAAUUAUUAUUUCUCAUUUUUAGAAGGGAGUUUCAAUUACCAAUUUAGCUAAAUUUCCAUUUCACUUUGCAGCUUAUUACAUUAUUUGAUGUUUAAAUUUAAGAAUUGCUAUUCGGCAAAGGCAAUUGUUUUAAACUAUUAAAAUUCGGAAUACAACUCUUAAACAACUACAUAUAUUUGAGUAAUUGAAUAAAUUAUGGGCGAAUCGUUUAAUCGGUUGAGCGUUUGCAAAUCAUCGAUUUCCGAUAUUAUGUGUUGCAAUUAUAAAUUUUACUUCAAAUUAAUGACUGAUUAUCGAUCUUAUAUUUGCAACUUGGUUUUAUGUUAAUGAUUAAUAAUCUCGGACAUACAAAUAGAUUUGUAUAUUUAUUUAUAUUUUCUACUAAAAUAAAAAAAUACUUUUUCGAAAUAUAUUUAUUUUGUAAUGGCAAUUCAAAGUAUUAUUUCUUUAAUAACAAAAAUUGUUUUCAUAAAUAUAAACAAAUUAAUUAUAUCUUGUAAUGUGAAGUCAAUGUUAAAUUUUUUUUACUGACAUAAUUUGUUCUUUGAUUUAAUAAAAGCUAUAAAACAUAUAUCAUAUCGUAACGAUAUUUGAAUUAUCCGGAGAUUAAAGCUACAAAAGUAUAUUUUAAAUGAAAUGUAUUCAAAGUUAUAUUUUAAAACAUCUUUGAUAUAUAUAUUUAUAUAAAGUUUUAAUAUAUUUAUUAAAAUUAUAUAUAUACUUGAAAAAUUUAUCAAUCAUAUCAUAAUUUACAUACAUAACACAUAGCCUACAUGACUUACUUAAUACACAACUUAAAUAAUUUAAAUAACUUACAUAAUACAUAACUUACAUUCAUAACUUACAUAAACUUAUAUGUUAAUACAUAACUUAUAUAAAAUUUUUAUAUAAACUUACAUAAUACAUAGCAUACAUAACAAAUAUAAACAAAACUUACAUAACUUAAAUAUAUUACACAACUUACAUAACCUACAUAAUACAUAACUUACAUAACUUACAUAACCUACAUAAUACAUAACUUACAUAACUUACAUAAUACACAAUAACUUACAACUUACAUAACAUACAUUAAUUUGAUAACUUACAUAAGUUACAUAAUACACAAUAACUUACAACUUACAUAACAUACAUAUUUAUGAUAACUUACAUAGCUUACUUAAUACAUGACUUACAUAACUUAUACUCGUACAUAACUUACAUAAUUUACUUAAUACAUAAAUUAUGUAACAUAUGAUAUACCUACAUAACUCAUUUAUACUUACCACUGAACAACUUACCCUUGUAAUUUCUGGUGAAAAUCAGACUUCAAGACUGUAAAAAAUGGACCGGUCUUGGAUGAAUUUGUCAAGGGUAAGCGACGGUUAUCGAAAUGGAGUACAGACAUUUCUAAAUUUUGCAUUUCAACAUGCAAGCCAAGAGAACAUGAUUCUUUGCCCGUGUAAUAAGUGUGUCAACAUAAACUGAAAUUAUCGUGAAGUUGUAUACGAGCAUCUAAUUGUUGAUGGGUUUUUUCGGGGUUAUAAACAAUGGCUUUUUCAUGGAGAAUGCCCGCGUAGUACUUCCUCUUCAAGGAUGGAUGUAUCCUAUGAUAGUACUGCUUACCAUCAGACUUUUAGAGGGGAUGACAUGGAAGGGAUGUUGCGGGAAGCAUUUAAUAUUCAUAGUCAUGGUGGACAAUCGUUCCCACCCGACUUUGUGCCAUCUGAUGAUUGUAAUCUCGGUGGAAAUGCUUUUACCGAACCCGGAAGCAGUGUACAUCAUGAAGAGCCGAAUGGAGAAGCGGCAAAGUUCUACGCGCUACUUAAUGACAUGAACGAAGAACUGUAUGAGGGAUCAAAAUUCUCAAAAUUGUCUUUCUGUAUUCGUCUUUUUCAGUUAAAAUGUUUGGGAGGGUGGACCGGGAACUCUUUGACAGUGCUGUUAGAGUUUUUGAGAGAAAUGUUUCCGUUUGCAAAAAUCCCUCAAUCAUGCAAAGAUAUGAAGAAAAUGAUAAAAGAUUUAGGUCUUGGGUACACCAAAAUUCAUAGUUGCCCAAAUGACUGCAUGUUGUAUUGGGGCGAUCGGAGAAGUCAACAAUGCUGUCAUAUAUGCGGCCAAUCACGUUGGAUAAAUAGAAACACAAAAUAUGGGAACGACGAUGAAAAUGUUGCACAACCAAGACAAAAGCCGGUUAAGAUUUUAUGAUAUUUUCCGCUGAUACCAAGGCUUCAAAGGCUUUUCAUGUCAUCGAAGACAGCGGAGUCUAUGACGUGGCACCAUGACGGACGAACCGAUGAUGGGAAGUUGAGGCAUCCGGCAGAUUCUUUAGCUUGGAAAUCAUUUGACAAUAAAUUUCCAAGCUUUGCAAGCGAUCCUAGGAGUGUGAGGCUUGGGCUAGCAUCUGAUGGAUUUAAUCCUUUCAAGAUCAUGAGUACCACGUACAGUACUUAGCCAGUUGUGCUUGUUCCUUACAAUUUGCCUCCGUGGAGUUGCAUGAAGCAAUCUUCCCUUAUUUUAUCUAUGAUUAUCCCUGGUGAGAAAGGGCCCGGGAAUGAUAUCGACAUUUAUUUACAGCCACUUAUAGAUGAGUUAAAACAGUUAUGGGCUGGUGUCGAGACAUACGAUGUGGUGAGAAAUGAGAACUUUAAUUUACGUGCAGCUUUGAUGUGGACCAUUAAUGACUUUCCCGCUUAUGCCAAUUUAUCCGGUUGGAGUACCAAGGGUCGUUACGCAUGUCCUUGUUGUGCUGCACAAACAUGUUCGCAAUGGUUAUACAAUGGGAAAAAGUUCUCUUACAUGGGGCAUCGUCGGUGGUUACCGGAAAAUCAUAGAUUUAGAUUUCAGAGUUCAGUAUUUGACGGUACCGAAGAGUUCAGAGAAGCUCCUUCGCAGACAAGUGGAUGUGAUAUCUUGUUCAUGUUGAAAGAUAUAAAUUUCAGUUAUGGAAAGAUGAACCACCCGGCGAACACGCAAAUAAAUAGAAGAUCAAAUGAUGAAGCUGAUGAUGACUCCGAUGAAGAGGAUGAUCCCAAUGAGGCAGACUUGUGGAAAAAGAGAAGUAUUUUUUUUGAGUUGCCUUAUUGGGAGCAUCAGCUUUUACGACACAAUCUUGAUGUUAUGCACAUUGAGAAAAAUGUCUGUGAGAACAUUGUCGGUACAAUUUUGAAUGUAGAUGGAAAAUCGAAAGACAAUCUUCAGAGUCGACUUGAUUUAGUCGAAAUGGGAAUUCGACCUGAUCUUCAUCCAAAUCCACUUCCUAAUGGGAAAUAUUAGUUGCCGCCUUCAAUUUUUUCAAUGUCGAGGAUAGAGAAAGAAGUGUUCUGUACGGUGUUGAAGGAUAUAAAGGUUCCUGAUGCGUAUGCAUCAAAUAUAUCUCGAUGUGUUAGUGUUAAAGAUCGAAGACUGUAUUCUCUAAAAUCACAUGACUAUCACAUCUUGAUGCAAGAUUUACUGCCAGUUGCUCUACGAUGUUGUAUGUCGAAGAAGGUGACGUCUUGUAUAAUUGAACUAUCCAAUAUAAUGAAAGACAUUUGUGGCAAAGUGCUGGAUGUUCAAGAACUUCAGAAGGUACAGGAUAGAGCCGCAUUGACUUUAUGCAACAUGGAGAAAAUCUUUCCACCUUCCUUCUUCACUAUUAUGGUUCACUUGAUAAUCCACCUCCCGGGAGAAGCAAUUCUCGGCGGACCCGUUUUGUACCGAUGGAUGUAUCCCAUAGAAAUGUGUUAAUUUAUGUUAAAAACUCUCCUUCCGUAAACCCUAUAUGCAUUUAAGUACAACUUUUCAUAACAUUAUUUCGUGUUUAGGUUCCUAUCCAAAUUAAAGUCUUACUGCCGCAACAAGCGUUAUCUAGAAGGAUCGAUUACUGAAGCCUACUUAGCAGAUGAAUGUAUGACAUUCUGUUCGCGAUACUUGGAUGAUGUCGAAACAAGGUUGAGCAGACCAAAUAGAAAUGCUGGACUCACGGAUCAUAACUUGGCCGAUACUUAUUUGUUCGAAAGUUUUGGAGAAGCAAUCGGCAAAGUGGAAAUUGCAGAAUUAGAUGGUUUUUCGUGGGUACAAGCACAUCGGUAUGUUCUGUUUCACCACGAAUCAAUGGAACCUUUACGCAAGUAAGUUCUACAAAUUUGAUAAAUAUUCAUCAAUUAAAAAUUGUUUAUAUUCUAACAAGCUGAACAUAUAUUUUAUACAUAGUGAGUACAAACAAAUACUGAGAUCUCGUGCGCGCUCCCGAAGAACACAACUUCGAGACAUCAAUAAGUUGUUCAUUGAAUCUUUCUAUGAAUGGUUAACCCAAACGGUAUGCAAUUGUAGCUUUCAUCGACAUAUAAUAAUAAUCUUCUCUCAUAACAUCGCUAAUUACUCAGUUGACUUUCCAUACAAUAGGUUUGGAGUGGGAAGAACGUGACCGACGAAGUUAAAUGGCUUUCUCAAGGUCUAGAUCGGGUGGUUAAAAGAUUUAGUGCGUUUCUCAUAAACGGCUUCAGAUUUCAUACAAAAUAUCGCGAGAGAUUGAGGAGAACGCAAAAUUCUGGAAUAGUUGUUAAUUCCUCAAUUACUAGUUAUGCUAGUGCUAGGGACAACAAUCCUGUCGAGGGAAAUGUCGAAUAUUUCAGACUUCUUACUGAUAUAAUUGAGUUGGAUUACUACGGAAAAUGGAAAGUUGUCUUAUUUCGAGGUGAUUGGGCCGAUGUUAAUACUGGUCGUGGAAUUAAGCAAGAUCAAUUUUGUUUCACAAUGGUGAAGUUCAAUCGAUUGAUUCAUACAGGACAACAAUUGAUUGAUGAGCCGUACGUAUUUUCUUCUCAAGUCAAACAAGUAUUUUACUCAAAAGAUCCAAUUGAUGAGGGUUGGUACGUUGUACUCCGUAACAUCUCUAAGGACUUGUUUGACAUAGGCAGUGGAAGUAGAGAUGGCGUUGACGACAGAACAGAAACUUUGCCAUUUCUAGAACAAAACUUAAAUGAAAACAUCCCUAGUACUAGUACACACAGUCAAUGGGUCCGCCAGGAUACGGAUGAAGAUAUUUAUGGAUUAUAAUAUAGUAAGCUUUUACGAUUAUUUAAUCAUAUGUAAUAUCAUAUCAUAAUAUUGGUCUUAAUAUAUAUUUGAACUAUUUUAAACAUAUUAUUAUUGUUGUAAUUGUAUAUUAAGUUUUCAACUAAUUAUUUUGUAUUGCAGAUAAAAUGCCUAGAAGACCCGUUCGAGCGCACCGCAUUGUUCAAGGUACUCCAAACUCGACCGAAACAAACAGCACUGAACAACAAACUGCUAUUGGAUCUUCGAAUGUUCCGGUCCCACAUGACGAACCUAUAGAAGUUGAAACUAAUUUAACUUCUAACUUACAUGUGUGUUCACUUAUUAUUUAUUUUAUCUUUUAAAUUUCUUAUAUUACAAUACUUUUAUUUUCUAGCUGAAACUGUCGGGACGCGGAGAGUUCGCGGACGUACUCUACUGAGGGAUUUAUACGAUCUAGAUCCAAUCGAGCGUGUCCAAGUAUCCAGUAAUAGCUUUGGUCAGCCUAUUGGAUCAGAAGCUCGCCUUUUAGCAGGAUACAUGGGCAUUCUAGCACGGAAUCCAAAUAUAUUGCCAAUUAACUUCGAGUCAUGGUGCAAAGUGCCCGAGAGUAACAAGAACCAAGCUCUCGAUAACAUUAAGGUAACAAAACGUGUAUGUCAUUUAUAAUACUUGGGUUUAAGUUUCGUUUACAUUUAGUUUCUAUAUAAAAACAAAACGUGUUUUUUGUAGGCGAGAUUUGCUCUAGAGGUCUCCGAUGCUUAUCUAAAGAAGGCAUUAGGAAAAAAGUGGAGAGACCAUAAGAGCACAUUAAAGAAAGAAUAUUUUAAGACAAAGACAACAGUCGAUAAGAAAUUAGAUAAUGUUCCACCGGGAAUGCUUAGGUACCAGUGGGAAGAGGUCGUUAGAUUUUGGACUUCGAAGAAAUGAGAGGUAUGUGUUACUACAAAAAUCUUGUAAUUAUUUUGGUUUAUAGUAUUUAAUAAUUAACGUACUAAUAAUUUGAUAACGUAGGAUCGUGAACGAGUUGGAACAAGUAAUAGGCAGAAACAAAAAUUCACGCACACAGCUGGGUCGAGAAGUUUUGCGUGUGUAGCUCAGGCUGAGGUAUUUUGGAUUUAUACGGUACUGGCAGAUAUUUAUUACUUUAUAUCAAAUAAUAUUUUUACUAUUGUAUUGCAGGAAGUGCUGUCGGGUCAAAAAAUUGGACGCCUUCAACUUUUUGACAUUACACAUAGGAAGAAAGAUGGAAACCCUUUGACUCCUGAAGCUGCAGAAAUUAUGGUACGUUCGCUUAAUACAAUUUGACUUGUUUUAAUUAUUUUUACUGUUCUAAUGGUUUAUUUCAUUUCUUCUAAUGAAAAUAUUGUUAAGGGAUAUUGCAUUUGUUUUUUUAAUAUAUUCCUUUCUUAACUAUGUCAUUUAAUUUUUAGGAAAAACUGAAGGACAAAAAGGCGGAGUACGAAGCGAUUGCUUCAAGUGAUAGUUCUGUUCAUAUCGACGGCAUUGAUAACCGGAUUAUCACUGAAGUUUUGGGUCCUGAAAGGUAUGGUCGGGUUCGAUGUCAACGAUCUUUUGUUAGCCCAUCCCAAUAUUUUGGAUCCAGCUCGCAACGAUACAUGCAUUCGGGGAGUCAGGCUCAAGCUGAAGUUCAAAGGUUAAGAGACCAGAUAGCUCAGAUGCAAGCGACAACAAGUGAACAAAUUACACAACUUAAAGCGGAGGCAACAUCGAGAGAAGCUGAGGUUCAAAAAAGAUAUGAAGAACUCCAGCUACAACUUAAAGCAGAUGCGGCAACGAGAGAAGCAGAGGCAGCAGCGAGAGAAGCUGAGGUUCAACGAAAGUAUGAAGAACUCCAGCGGCAGCUUAAAGCAGAUGCAGCAACGAGAGAAGCAGAGGCUGCAGUGAGGGAAUUAGAGGCUAAAACGAGGGAAGCAGAACAGCUUAAAAAGUUCGAUGAACUCCAACAGCAGCUUCAGAAUAUGAUGAAGAUGUUUCAGCAGUCGCAACCACCUUCGUCUUAGAUUAUCGUGUAAAUAUACUUCAAUUUGACUUUUACAAUUUUUGUAAGAAUAAUGUGAAUUUUAAUUUAUUUAUUGACAUUUAUUUUAAAUAUUAUAUAGAUGUAUUACUUUUGGCUGGAUUAGAUUUGGUUUAUUCUGAUUUUUUUUACAAGAGGGCUGAAAAUAUAAAAAAAAAAAUUCAAAUCUGCCAACAUUAGCGGCGUUUCCUGGAUAAGCGCCACUAAAAACACAGCCUAUUGUGGCGUUUUUUUUGCAUAAGCGCCGCGAAAGAUCCCCGUCUGUAGUGGCGUUUUUAGACUAAGCGCCGCAAAAGAACCCUAUCUAUCGUGGCGUUUCUUGCAUAAGCGCCGGAAAAGAACCUUAUCUAUCGUGGCGUUUCCUAUUGAAGCGCCGGAGAAGAACCCUAUCUAUAGUGGCGUUUCUUGUAUAAGCGCCGGAAAAGAACCCUCUCUCUAGUGGCGUUUGUUGUACAAGCGCCGCUAUAGAACCCAAGCUAUAGUGGCGUUUUUUUGUAUAAGCGCCGCUAUAGAUCACAUCUAUAGUGGCGUUUUGAGUAUAAUCGCCGGAAUAGACCCACCCUCUAUAGUUGCAUUUUUCGGAUAAGCGCCGCUAGAAAGGCCGAUCUAUAAUGGCGUUUUGUAUGUAAGCGCCGCUAAAGAGCCACAUCUAUAGUGGCGCGGCAAAAGAAACGCCGUAAUAGGUCUUCAUCUAUAGCGGCGUUUAUUAGAAGAAGCGCCGCUAUAGUUAGCGGCGCAGUCAUUAGCGGCAUUUUUUGCGGCGCUUAUAGAAGCGCCGCUAAAAGUAUUUGCGGCGCAAAGAAACGCCGCUAUAGCCCUAAAAAAGCGCCGCGAAAAGCCUGUUUUGCUGUAGUGAGUAAUACUAUUAUUAGUGAGGGAUAAAAGGCUGAUCUUAAGGUAUUUAACUGUAACCUUCUUAACUCGGCCCGUAUGUUAUGGCCGAAUUUUAAAGACUACAUUGGUCACUGAAAUAGCCUCAUAGAACCAAUUAGAUUUGAAAACGUUUUUUUACUAACUUUUAGAAAACUUAAUGCAACUGCCUUGGGAUUAUCAAAAUGCCAGAUUAUUAAGUCGAGUUAACUUAAGAGUCCAAUUUAAGAAGUGUUGUGACAUUUUGAGAUAAACUUAGUCGAUUUUUGUUUUGUUGAUUUGCCUUUUUAAAGUGAAACCAUCAGUCUUACCACUGUAUGUUUUUUAACAAAGAUUCAGGUCACCCAACUCUAACACAUAUAAAUAAAUUUUAUAAUUAUAAUUGUAAAAAUUUAUAUAACUUAUUAAUCAAAUAAAAAGUUAUAUAACAUAAUGAAAAUAAUUUUAAUUAAAUUUAUUUAAAAAUAUAAAAUUAAUUUAACAUUUUAUAAUUUUAUAAUACCACGUCAUUAGAACUAAUAUAUAUCCUCAAUAAAUUAAAAUUCACAUGUGAAAGAAGACAAUAUUAUAAACAAUUGAGCCAAUGUUUUUGGUUUCAAAAUCUUUUGUGGAAAAAUCCGCACUUCAAUGGUGAUGAGUAGCGAUUACAUACUACCUUUAAUUAAAGGAGGCAAAAGCUGAUCCGUGUAUUGAAUACUUUCCCAUUUGUUGCAACAUACUAAUACUAUAGAUAUAGAAAACAAAACGUGAUGAAUGAUGAAUGCUUUUCAACCUACUUUACUGGGAUUCCAUACUGUAUAUGUUUUUCUUUCUAUGCCAACAACAGUAGUCAAUGUGCCCUGCUUUAUUUGUGGACCUGCUGCUGUAUUUUCAUCUUAAAGUAAGAAUUAAGAGUUGUGUAAAAUGACUAACUUUACGUGUGGGGUUUUAUGAUGGGAAACCACUCAGAAACCUUCUUUCCAUAAUAAUCGGAAAACAUCCAAGCAAAGUGAUGAAUGCUUUUUCACUUGUUAGCCAACUUACAUUUUUUUUUUUAGCUUUUAGAGACAAACAAAACAUGAUUAACUGUUUGUUAGACUCGUCUGAUUAAACACGGUUUACGCCAUAUACCAUAUAUGAUAACAAAGAAAUUCUCCAAUUUGAUCCACUCUUGUGCUUUCUUUCUAUGUGAACAACAAUAGUUAAUAUAUUCAAUUUCAUGAAACUCCGAUAAAAUUACUGCAAAAGUUUAUCGAGAAUUAAAUUUUUUUAUAGCGAUUUUCAUACGGAAAAUUCUAAUUCAAGAGUUUGAGAAGUCAUUGCUGGGCUUUUGGCAGUUAAUAGGUUUUGAAUGAGCUUGUCUUAAGUUGAAAGAGAGGAGAAAUUGAGAUUUUUGGACUAAAUUGCAAAGUUGCUUCAUCUACCAUGGAUUAUUGGGCAAAACUAGUGAGAUAUUAAGGGUUCUAUUCCCGAUACAUGGAGAUAGUUCUUUCUUUCAUUUGGAUUAAGGGCUAAAUUACAAAUUUCUCCAAGAAUAGGAUCUUUCAAUAAACAAUCAACACAAGAAGGGAUUGAGCCACUUUAUUUAUUUUGGGAAAGCGAUGUGUACUCCAGUUCCAUCAGAUGACACAAAGCUAGAGGAAUACGACCAGUAAAACUAUUACUAGUGAGGGAUAGAAGGCUGAUGUUGUUCAAAAUUUAAUCUUGAAGGAUUCAACUAUAACCUUCCUAACUCGGUUCAGAUGUUAUGGUUUGGUUCCGUUGAACCAAUUAAAUUUGAAAACAUUCUUUUUAACUAACUUUUAGAAAGCUUAAUGUAACUGCCUUGGGAUUAUCAAAACGUCAUAUUAUUAAGUUAACUUAAGAGUCCAAUUUAAUAAGUGUUGUGACAUUUUGAGGUAAACUUAGUUGAUUUUUGUUUUGUUGAUUUACCUUUUUAUAAAUUUCCAAUUCCAUUAUUACGUAGUGGAAAAAGUGAAACCAUCAAUGUAUUUUCUUUAACAAAGAUUUGGGUUAUACAACUUUAACAAAUACAAAAAAAUUUAUAAUAAAAGAUAUAAAUAAAACUUAUAUAACUUAUUAAUCAAAUAAAAAGUUAUAUAUAUAUAUUUAUAUAUGUAGUCAAUUUUAUAAUAACUUAUUGAAAGUAUAUAUUAUUGGUAUGUUUCAUGUCUAUAUUACGAUCUAUGUUUGGAGUAUAUGACUACCUCUUCCAACAAUAUCGUCUUCAAGGUUUGAACACUACUCUCUCUUUCAAAUGUAAUAUACUUUACCACUACGCUCAACACUUAUUGAUAGCUUAUCAAAAAAUUUAUAUUUUUUUAUGAUGAAAACUAAUUUGAAAAUCCAUAAAACCAAUUAAUUUUCAUCAUAAAAAAUUAAAAUACAAUGUUAUUUAAAUCGAACUAUUUGGUUGAAUUAAAAAUAGGUCGAAAUUUCGAUUUAGAGGAAGGUAAAAAAAUCAGUUAACCUAUGAAUUGAACUAAAAAAAAGUUUAAUUGCUUGAAUUGUAUUUUAUAUUUAUCAAUAUUUUUAUUUUUAUAGUUUUUUAAUAAUUUAUUUAAUUUGCAGUUAACAUACUAAAAAUGGACGAUGUAAUUGAUUCGAUCACUUAUCCAUUCCAAGGUUAUGUAAUAUUCAACUUGAAUCGGAAGCUUUUUGAAAUUAUGUAUUAAGAUAUUCAGCUCCAAAUUGAUUUGAUUGGUUAGAGAGUUGUUGACAGAGCAGUAAUGGCGUCGGGGAAAAUGGCGAUAAAGGAUAUGUUGGAUUCUGUUAAUAUCUCGUGCUUUCUUUAUUUGUUCUCGCUCAAUAAAGGCUUACUAUUACUAUGAUGAGUUACUUACCUCUUCUUAUUUCAUCUUCAGAUAUCAGAAGAAGAAGAAGGUCCAGGAUGAAGAAGAGCAAAAGGAGGUCUUUUUUUAUUAACGAUUUCAUCGACAUAGCAAAAGGAAAAGAAAAACAUAUCCAGAACUUGUAUGAUAAAUACCUUCAAGCGAUCAAAUAACAUUGAGUGAAACAAGUAUGAAUUCUUGGGCAACCACAAGACUCCACCAGUGUGACAAACAGAGAAGCUAAAGGCUAUCAAUCUAAGAGAAAUUGUUUCAGGAGUGUUGGAAACUAGAAAGAUGAAUUUAAUGGAAAAGUUACACUGUUGGUUGUAACUGUCCUAGACGUUGAACAACUUGGAUUGGUCUCCCAUGAAUGGAUUAUGUCAUCUAUUUCAGAUUCUUCAUCACCAUGGGCUUCAAUAACAUUUCCACCAGAAGCGUUAAUCGACUCCAGCUCCAUUGCUACUUGUUUCAUGGUGGGUCUUUUCUUUCCAUUAAGAUUCAAGCAUCUUUUUGCUAGCAGAGCCACUACUAUAAUCUCCUUUUCUGGACCAUCCUUUACUACCAUUGGAUCGAGAAUGUUAAAUAAGGAAUUCUCCUGCAUUGACUGCAAAAAAUAAGAUACCAAGCUUCUCACUGACUCUGAUUGUUCCAGGGAGAUGGGUUUUUUUCCUGUUAAAAGCUCAAUAAGAACAACUCCAAAGCUAUAAACAUCACUCUUCUCUGUGAAUUGACUUGAUCGAAAAUAUUCUGGAUCCAUGUAUCCAAAAGUUCCUUGCACCCGAGUGGUUAGAUGUGUUUGUUCAAGUGCAACUGAUCUUGAAGUUCCAAAAUCUGACACUUUUGCCCUAUAUUUAUCAUCCAAAAGUAUGUUACUAGAUUUGAUGUCUCGAUGAUAAAUAGGAGCAGAAGCAGCUGAAUGCAAAUAGAACAAGGCAUUGGCAAUUUCAAUUGCAAUUCGUAAACGCAUUUUCCAUGUCAAUGGGAAUUCUUCAUUUUGGUUAUGAAUGAGAUCGUAUAAUGUACCAUUUGGGAUGAACUCAUACACCAAUAGAGGAGCUUCAGCCUCUAAACAACACCCUAAAAGCUUAACCACGUUCCUAUGAUUAAUUUGAGAUAAAAUUAUCACCUCGAUAAUGAACUGUUCAACCUUCUUUUCAUCAAAUUUCUUUCCUUCCACCAUUUUGGAUUUCUUAAUAGCCACAAUGCUUCCAUCUAUUAGCAUUCCUUUAUAAACAGUCCCUUGACCUCCUUGACCUAGGAUUCGGUUUUCAUUAUAAGAAUCAGUCGCCUUUUUCAUCUCUUUUGAAGUAAACAACUUAAUUUUUUCAACAUUACCUUCAUUGCUAGGCAAAUGUUGUUGCAGUAACAAACCUCCAUUCCUUUUGAAGUAUUUCUGCUUCAGCAAGAUUUUUUGUUUUCUUUUGAGGGCUUUGUACAGACUCCAUGUUGCGAGUAGUAAACGUAGUGUCCCAACACUAGUGCUGCAACCUAUAUAGAUAUAAGAAACAUAGUUAAAGGUGAAUUUGAAAAUUAAAAUACAGGCUAAAAACCAUGAAAAUGUUUCAAUAAAGUUUCAUUCAUAUUUGAUAGCCAUUCAUUUAAUGAACAAUGAGACAACCUUAUUACAUCAUUCAUUGUUUUCAUAUUGAAUUUUUACAAAUUUAAUGAUAAAUAACAGUUAUUGCAUCAUACAUUUAAAAGUAAAUAAAUUACUACUUAAAUUGACAUAAAUUAAAUAAUCAUAAUGAUUCCACUUUAAAAACAAGAAGUGUAAAUUCACCACGUACCUACAAUAAUGCUUUUCAAAUUACGAGUGUUUUUAUUUUGUACUUUGCACUCGCAAAGUAAUCCCGUACUAUUGUAUUCAUAACGAGGAGGGCAAGACUUUGACGAACAAUAGCUGUUAGGGGUAUUCAAGCAAAGUAUGUUGCAAUACUUGUAAUUAUCACAUUUCCCAUCUGUCAUUUAUGAAUUGAAAAAAAGAGAGGCUAUAAUCAGUUAAAGUAAUGAAUUAAAUUAUCCUUUUCUCCUUAUUCGUUAAAAUUAUCCGUAGAAGUAUUCUAGCAAUAUGUAUGCAUAACCAUUAUUUGAAAAAAAAAAUAUUUAAAACAUGAAAAACAAAGUUCAUUGAGUUGAGAUAUUAGCUAUCAUGAUGACUUUGUUCAAAUUUCAUUAUACGUACUCAUUUUUGUAGAUUUUACAAAAAUAUAAAAUGAAAAAAGAAACUUUUAUCAUAAUAUUAAAUUUUUUUAUAAAAGUAAUAGAUUUUCAUAAUUUCUCAAUCGAGUCGAGGCUCAAUUGAUGGGUGAUACCAAUUCAAUUAGCCCUUUAAAAAAUAAUACAAAUUUAAGGCACAUCCAUGAUGUGAGUGGAAAAAAUGAUGUAAUAAACAUAUUUAUUAAAAGCUUAUAUAAGAAUCAAAUGAAUUCUUGAUUGAAAUGAUAAAGUCAAAUUUUAAAAUUUAAUGUGUGAAAGGUUCAAAUCUCACCAUGUUAGGUUUAUUAUGGAUUUUAUAUAAAAAUGUAAAAAGAUGAGAAUACCCUUAAAAUAAUAUAACUUAAUUUGUAUAUAAAAAGAUAUUUUAAUAAAUUUUUGCCUGAGGUAUUAAGUAAAGAUAAUAUAGAUAUAAGAAAAAAGUUCCCUAAAAAUAGGUUAACUCAUACCUUUGCAUGACCUUGAAUAACUGAUAUCACUAGUAUCCCUGUAGCACGCACAUAGAUGAAUAGAGCUCAACCUCGACCAACAAUAUUCACCAUUGAAUGUACAAGAAGUGUCCGAACUAUCGUUCAAAUGGCACUCUCCAGAUAUUAGUGUGCUCCAUUGUAAUUGGAUUGGGACAUGCGUCCCAUUACUUAUAUCAAAAUCAUUGAGGAAAUUAUAGUCAUAAGAAAUCAAGGAAACAAAUUCGCAUGAUUUUUUCGUCCUAUAAUCACUAGAAUCAACCUUAGUGCUCAUGUGUUGCAAAGAAUGAACUAAGACCUUUAGGAAUAAUAAAAGGACAACCAAUAGAGGAAGUCUUGUUAUUAAUCCUACAACUUGGUUGCAAACAUCCGCUUAUAAAAUUAUCUGUUUCCGAAAAUAGUAAUCAAAUUACCACAACCUGAAGACCAGAAGUUGUUUCUAGAAUCUGAGUAGUAAAAACGGGUGCCUGUUAGGUUGAGACUCAUUCCAUUGUGAUGGUUUUUUCGACAGUUGGAGUAAGUUAUUGUUUGGUUGACAGUGAGGGUGCCAUCCAAAAAAUUAAAGUUCAAUAUUUGCAUAUUCGUGCCAUUUAUGUUUAAAAAAGGUAAUUUUUCCCCAUUGGCAGUUUUGGUGCAAAUUACAUUAAACCAGUCAUUGGAAUCAUCUUGGACCUCCAUGCUAAAAGGGUAGUGAAAAGGAACAUUCCCACAGUUCUCUACCUUGUAGGUUUUGAACUUGACAGGUCCUAGUCCUGGUCUUUUGCAUCCUGCAGGCUUAGCGAAAAGGACGUAAAUUACAAAAUCUACUAAAUGCAUGUACAUCCAAUGUUUGUAGGAAAUAAAAGCAAUGUGUCAUUCAGGAAAAUAUAUAAUUAUCUAAAAAUGAAGGUACAUAUACUAACAAAAUUAUUGUAUUAUAGAUAUAGGAGUUUAGGUUUCAUAUCAAGCAACCCUAUUCUUUACCUCUAAUUAUCAAAAUAAAUAAAUAUUUACUAAAAAAUCAUAUGAAAAGUGUUACUCUAAGUAAGUUUUCUAAUUAAAUUUAUGUGUUAUCUGUGGCAUUAAAUUCAAUAAAGGAUUUCUUAUUAAUAUAGUUACCAAUAUAAAUCUUAUGGUUGAAUUUGAUGUCAUUCACUAUUUUUAAUUAAAAAUACUUGCCCUUUAAAAACCUUUAAGGUACAAGCUUCUUACCUAAAACCUUUUAGGUAUUAAUUUAAGUUUUUGAAAUACAAAAGUUUUACCUAUAAGUUUUCUUUUCCUAAAAACUUUUAGGUAUAAAUAUUUGAAAAAGGACAAUAUUAAUAUACAAAAUGAAUUAUUCUAAAGACAACUUUUAGAUUAAUUUAUUAAUAAAUGUCGAAAAUUUUUAAAACAAUUAGGUGAAUAUAUAAGUUGAUUUUUGGAAAACGUUUCUAAUUGAAAGCAUUUUCAAGUGAUUUGUAGAAAAAUGUUUCCAACUAGAAGCAUUUUCAGCGUAUUGGUAGAAAAAUGCUUCCAACUGAAAACGCUUUUGUCACAUCAACAUUAAAAGUGGUAGCACCAAUAUUUUUUUAUUUCCUAAUGUCACCUAUUAAUAUGGAAAUAAAAAUUAAAAAAUAAGUUUUUAUUUAAACCCAAAGUCUCAUUUUCGUUAUUUUUUUUAGUGAGUAUAUAUAAGCUCAUAACUUAUUUUCAGCAUGUACCUAGACAAUAUAAGAUUGUUUACUUUUUUAACUAACAGCAUAAUAUUAUAGCCAUGUUUGUUUGGUUCCUUUUAUUAUUAUUAUUAUUAUUAUUAUUAUUAUUAUUAUUAUUAUUAUUAUUAUUAUUAUUAUUAUUAUUAUUAUUAUAAUACUUUUAUACCAUUGUUGUAUAAAAUCAAAGUUGGAAUAAGCAACCUUCAAAUUAUAUAUAUUUUUAGUUGGAUAUUUAAAUUUUUUUAAUCAAAAAAUGAUCUAAACUAUAAUUUCAUAACUAUUAUAUCAUAUACUAUUAUAUUUGUUAGAAAAAUUAUUUUAACAAAUUAAGAGUUUAUACAUGACAUUUUAAUAAUAUUAAAAUUUUAAUUUAAUUGAAGCAUUAUUAAUUUAAUUAUAAUAUUUUUAUCAUUCAAUUAUGAAAAGUUAUAAAAUGGUCAUUUAAUUAUUCUAUUUUAUUUUAUUUAUUUUCAAUUGACUAACGUAAAAAUAGAAACAUAUAAAAAUUUAAUAUAAUAAGACGACUAAACAAAAACAAAAUUGAAUUAUUAAGUAAAUAUUUUGUAACUUUUCACAUUGAGUAAAUAAAAAAGAAAAAAAUUUCCAUAAGUGGGCGACAACUAAUCUACUUUCCCCAUAUAUUAUAUUAUAUUUCACAUGUAAAAGAAUCUUAUUUACUAAUAGUUAAAUUUUUUAUCCUUCUCAAUCUCGUAAAUGAAAUAUUGAUGCUUAUAAAAUUAUUUAAUUUUGACUAAAAGAAUAGAUUUUAAUUCAAUAACUAUUGAAUUAAUCCCCGACCAUCAAUCCAUUCGAAUUACAAAUAUCCUAUACAUUUAUCUGUGUUUAAUAAAUAAAAGAAACUCCAAAGACAAGAAUAUUAAAUAUUUAAUAAUAUACUCCACAUCUUACAAUGCAUUUAAUUAAUAGUACAGACAAAGGUACUCCCACUUUAUGGUUCAUCAUUUUUAAUGUUUCAGACGUUUUCAUGGACCACUCGGCCAACCCGAUUUGAUCGGCAACAAGUGAAUAUAUUAUGGAUAAAGUAUCAUAUUUAUUUACUCUAUUAUGAAAAGUUAUAAAAUAGUUAUUCAAUUAUAAUUAAUUUUUGUUUAUCAUUUAAUUAUGAAAAAUUAUAAAACGAUCAUCCAACUAUUUGCUAAUAGUCCUUUCUUUUUGUUUUUCUCGGUCCCCUCUCUAUUAGGGGUGUAAAUGAGAUUCUGAUGCUUGCAAGAUUACUUAAGUUUGAUUCUGAAAAAAUUUAAAUUCGACUCGGUAAUUAUUGAACUGAGCUCAAACUAUCGAUCAAGUCAAAUUCGAGCUUAGUAAUACUUGACUUGAAUAGCUUGCGAGUCUUAACGAGCUUUUCAUAUUUUUUUAUAUUAUUAAGUUACAUAGUUUCCCUUAAUUAUCGAGCCGAGCUCAAGUACAAAAAUUAAUAAACGAAUUUAAUCGAGCUCGAAUUCAAGUAGCACGAUUAUAUCUCAAGUGAGCUCAUACUUAAAAACAAAUGUUCAAUUAAACUCAAACCAAGUAUCAAGUUUUAAAAUUUAAAUCGAGCUUAAUAAUAUUCUAAGCUCGGCUCAAUUAUGCGACUACCCUCUACAAACAUAUCAGUAUAGCAACUAUCUGGCCCCGUAAAAUGUGCACGCACCUCAUUUGGAUAAACUAACAUAUUAAUAAAUUUCAUAAUUUUAAAGAUAGGUAACUUUAAAUGAAUACUAUAUAAUGUGUUAGCAAACAACUAAUUAGGAUUUGCAUUCGAUGCACUUGUUAUUUUUUCUAAUGGGUAUUUAUAGACUUUAGAAUGUUCAGAAAACCUAAAAAUUAGGUUUUUCCACGUAUUUGUCCAACCCGUGUGGAAAUGUCCACCUGUGUGGAUCUUGAAAAUAGCUCUUUUGUCCGAUUUUGGCUCGUUUUUCGCUCCUUUCGCUCCCAAAUACUCUCCUAAGUAUAGAAACAUGAAUUUAAAGGAUUAGGAGCAUCAAAUUCACUAAUUUGUAUAAUUAAUCAUCCAAAAACGCAUUAAGAAUGAGAUUAAAAUAUGUUACUUUUAUAGAUUAUCAUCGACAAGCCAACUAGUUGCACAAAAUCUUGUUCACGUUGCUACACUGACAUUCACUUGCUUAAAUCUGCGACCGAAGUCUCGACCAACAAUGAAAGAAGUGUGUGAAUAGUUACUUUGUGGUAAAAAGUCCUUGGGAAUUCCCAUUCGGAUGAUCUCUUUGUUACAACUUGUGAACCAUGAAAUCCAUAUUAGAGGCAGAACAGAAAUUUGUGAUGUUCAAAGUCCAUGCGCUUUUUUGGUAUUGUUUAUCAUGCUUUCAUGAUUUGUUUCUAAACUAGCUCUUGUGUUAUAUAUGAUUUUGCAAAUAGUUUUCUAAACUUCUUAAAUAAAUUGGUUAUAAUUCAAUGAAUAAAUUUUUUUGAUAAAACCCUUGACUAGAAUGAAGAAUUCAACAAUCCAUAAAGAAAAAAAUAAUAGCAGAAGAAAAUGUGAAAGUCUUCUUCAUUGUUUUUCAUGCCCCAGAGUUUCUUUAAAUACCUUCCAAAAUCUCCUAGAAAAGAGUUUAAAAUAAAGUUUUAAUUUAAAAUAUCUCAUAAAAUCCUAAUCAAUCCCAUAAAAUAAGACUUUGAAAAUUUCUUUCAAAAAGAUAAUGGUUUUUGCUUUUCUUUUUAAAAUCAAUGGUAAAAAAAUUAAAAUGCAAUGUUAUUUAAAUCGAACUAAUUGGUUGAAUUAAAAAUCUGUUGAAAUUUUGAUUUAGAGGAAGGUAAAAAAUCAGUUCACCCAUGAAUUGAGUUAAAAAAAAUUUAAUUGAUUGAAUUAUAUUUUAUAAUUAUUAAUAUUUUUGUUUUUAUACUUUUUUUUUUAAUAAUUUAUUUGAUUUGCACUUAACAUGCUAAAAAUGGACGAUGUAAUUGAUUCGAUCACUUAUCCAUUCCAAAAAGGUUAUAUAAUAUUCAACUUGGUUCGGAAGCUUUUUGAAAUUAUGUAUUAAGAUAUUCAAGCUUAAUUUGCUCCAAUUUGAUUUGACUGGUUCGAGAGUUGUUGACAGAGAAGUAAUGGCGUCGGGAAAAAUGGCGAUAAAGGAUAAGUUGGAUUCUGUUAAUAUCUCUUGGUUUCUUUAGUUAUUCUCGCUCAAUUGACUCACCUCUUCUUAUUUAUAUCUGAAGAAGAAGAGCAAAAUGAGGUCUUUUCUUAUUAACAAUUGUAAGACCCAUUUUGACCCGGCCCAAUACCCAAGGCCCAAAAUCUAAAUUGGCCCAAUUGGGCCCAAAAAUUAAACAAGCAUCAGGGAACCCUAGGCCUCCUGCCUUGCUCAGCGCCGUACGCCUCCUGCAGCCUAGCCCUUUGCCAUCGCCGUUCACCUUGUCCCAUUGCCACUUGCUUCACCUGCAAAUAAUAAAGAGAACAACAACAACAAGCAAGAGAGGUUUUGUUUUUUUUUUUUCGGUAUAUAAACCGAUUACUAACAGAUUUUAGGGGGGAGAAUCGAUUUUUAAAAAAAAAAACCAAUCUUUAGAUCUGUUGGGGGGAACGAUUUUUUAACGGAUCUUGAGAUCUGUUGGGGGUUUCUUUUUGGCUUGCGAUUUUUGUAACCAAAUAUAGAUUCAACAGAAAGAAUAAAAACAAAAAAACUUUGAAGGUUGUUUCGCCUUUUAUUCUCUGUUUUCUUUUGCUUUGAAUAGAUUUUUUUAUUUUUAUUUCGUUUUUUUCUUCUUUAAAAUCUAAAAAAAAGAAUCAAAAGGGGUUACCUUCUCGCUUGCCGGUGAUGCCCUCCGAGUGCCGAAGCCGAGAAGCCCUUUGGGGUUUCGUUUAGGUCGCGCCAAAGGAAAAACGGGCUGGGGGAGACUUGUUUUAUUCUUUCUAUUUUCCGGCACGACGAAGCCGCUGCGAGGCUACGACGAAGCCUUCGCGCGAGUUCACCGGCGACGUCGCCGGACUCUAAAGGGGGAGAAGGGGAAUCGUUUUUUGAGAAACAGAGAGAAAAGCAAAAUUUUUUUUUAUUUUUUCUGCUGCUAAAUGAAGUUUUGUUAAAAAAAAUUAGUUUAAAUAAACUUUUCAAAACGGCGCCGUUUGGGCUUAGGGCUUACAGACCAGAAACGGCAUCGUUUUGGUCUCUAACCCGCGCGGUGACCCGACCCAGGGGAAGGAUCCGCGUGUUUUCUUUAAAUAGGUUAUUUAUGCGCGCAGUCCCUCCAACUUUGAAGCGCGUUGCAAUUUGGCCCCUUUUCAUUAUUUUCUUCUAUUUUAAUUUAGCCCCAAGGUUUUAUUUUGGUUUCAUUUUGGUCCGUUGCAGUGUUGCGUUUUGGGGCUUUGGUUUAGUUGCAGUUUUAGUCCCCUUUCUGUUGCGCGCAUCGCGAUUUAAUCUUUUUUUUAAUUUUUGAUUUCCGCCUUAAGAUUUUGUUUAUUUUCAAUUUAAUCCUUUUUUGUUUUAGUUAUUUUACUGUUAAACUAACUAUUUUAAUCUUGUUAUUACUAUUAUAUUAUAUCAUUAUCCUUAUAAUAUUAUUGUCAUAUAUAUAUAUAUAUUUUUACUUAUUUAAAUUUAAAUAUACUUGUCCUAUUAUUAUUACUAUUAUAACUAUUUAUAUAUACAUACCUUAUUAUAAAUAUCUUUAUAUCUUAUUAUGUAUAUAUAUCUAUAUCUCUUUUUAAAUAUUUUCUAGCUUAUAUAUACAUACGUUUUGCUAUAUAUAUAUAUAUAUGUCUAGCUCCCUUAUACAUUUAUAUAUAUACACCUAUAAACUUUUAUUUUAUUUUAUUUAUUUUAUAUAUAUACAUAUGUUGUUCUUAUUUUUAUUUUUACGUAUAUUCACAUAUAUAUCUUUUAUAUUUUAUAGCCUUAUUCAUUUCUUUAUUUAUUUCUUUAUUUAUAUUUUCAUUAUUAUUUUGAAUGAAUGUUUUAAUUUUAUUUCCUUAUAUGCAUUGUUAUUUUGUAUGUUAUUGGUUCAUCCUUUUACCUAAUUUAUUCUCAUUGCUAUUACUCAUAUUAUUUAUGCUACAUUAUCGUAUUCAUAUUUAUUUAGUUACGUAUACUAACAUCGUAUCUUAUUUCUACUAUUUCGUGUUAAAUUAUUUCAUUCAAUAAAUGAAUUAUGACUUUUGAAUAAACAAAAUUUCGUGUUCAGAUUUGAGAAAAUCGUGCCCUAACUUACUGGGUUUCGAUUUUCACAAUAAAUCUAAACACGUGAAUAUUUUCAAACUCAAGUUUUAAACGAUAUCGGGAAUUAAAAAAGGAUUGUGUCCUAACUUACUGGUCGUGAUAUCCUUUUUUAAAUCUGAGAUAGCUAAAAUAUCUUUUAAAUAUGUAAAUUUUGGCAUUCGUUCACGUAUCGGGAAUUCGAGACAUUGUAUCUUAACUUACUGGAUAUGAUUCUCUUUCUCACAUGAAAUAUGCCCCUUUUUCCAAAAUUCUCAACAUUUUAAUACAAGGAUCGUAUUUUUAAAAUUCUUCAAAGUUUUCAAUUUUCGACAUUAAGACAUUAACUAAUCAACUAGGUACCAAUUUUGAGCGUUACGAGGGUGCUAAUCCUUCCUCGUACGUAACUGGUUCCCGAACCCGUUUUCUAAAUUUUGUAGACCAAACUCGUUGUUUUAAUAAAAUUAAAUUAUUUAUUAAAAACAACCGCUUUUAAAGGUGACCCGAUCACACCUCAUCAAAAAAGAUUGGUGGCGACUCCCACUUUCGUUUUCAUUUUUCAAAACCCAAGUCGACCCCGUUUUUCAUCCAGAAAAUGGUGUCAACAACAAUUUCAUCGACUUAGCGAAAGGAAAAGAAAAAAUUAUCCAUAACUUGUAUGAUAAAUACCUUCAAGAGAUAAAAUAACACUGAGUGAAACAAGUAUGAAUUCUUGGGCAACCACAAGACUCUACCAGUGUGACAAACAGAGAAGCUAAAGGCUAUCAAUCUAAGAGAAAUUGUUUCAGGAGUGUUGGAAACUAGAAAGAUGAAUUUAAUGGAAAAGUUACACUGUUGGUUGUAAUUGUCCUAGACGUUGAACAACUUGGAUUGGUCUCCCAUGAAUGGAUCAUGUCAUCUAUUUCAGAUUCUUCAUCACCAUGGUCUUCAAGAACAUUUCCACCUGAAGCGUUAAUCAACAGAGAAGCAGAAAGAUGCUUGAAUCUUAAUGGAAAGAAAAGACCCACCAUGAAAGGAGUUCCGCCAGGAGUUUAAAUUGAAGGUUCGUGUUGGUGUUGGAGGCAGUAGCAAGCUGCUUUGGUCUUGCUUGGAUAGCAAGGCUCGAGACUUGCAGAAGAAACAAUUGAUGAAGAACAGAAUUUUGCAAGUGGAAAUUAACAGAAAACAAAAGCAAAGAAGAGAGAAUUUUAAAUGAAAAGAAGCUGAUUUUUCAUUAACAACAGAAAUAAGGCAUUAAGCCAUUACAUAUACAAAUUUCAAAAUUUAAAUCGAGCUUAGUAAUAUUUAAACUCGGUUCGCUUAUACCACUACCCUCUACAAACUAAUCAGUAUAGCAACCAUCUCGCCCCGUAAAAUGUGCACGCAUCUCAUUUGGAUAAACUAACAUAUUAAUAAAUUUCAUAAUUUUAAAGAUAGGUAACUUUAAAUGAAUAGUAUAUAAUAUGUGUUAGUAAACAACUAAUUUGGAUUUGAAUUUGAUGCACUAGUUAUUUUUGUGUAUUAAUAUUGUCAUGUUUUUAUAAUAUGUUGUAAGUUUCAAAUAUUGUCAACAUUAAAAGUUAAUUUUUAAAAAUAUAUUUUAAGUUUAAAGAAUUAUUAAAUAUAUAUACUAGUGUCAAUUUUCCUUAUAAUUUGUAUUUUUAAUAGUUUAUUUAACUUAAUUAUAGGUCGAAUUAUACUUAAUCUUAAUUUUGUAUUUUUAUUGUAUAUUUAUAUUUGCAUGCAUAUUUCAAUAUAUGCACAUUUAGAGCUACAUAUCAAGCGAAAAAUUAAUGUAAAAAUAAAGUACAUUUAUACAUAUAUAAUCUUAUAUUCAUAUAUAUCGUAUAAUAAUAUGCUGAAAAUAAAAUAAGUCCAAAUGCAUGGAUAUUGUGAACAAUAAAUAUAAAUGUUUUUAAAAUUAAUGAAUGAAUUAAAUAUAGCAACAAUGUAUUUUUUAAAGUAACAUGCAUUGUUAAUAUUGUGUUAUCUCGUAUUUAAUAAUUACGUGGUGUCCAUUUUAGGUUUUAUAUUAAAUAAAAUAAAAAAAUUAUAACGAGGAGGAUGCUGGGUAUAUUAACAAAAUAUAUAAAAAUAUUUAUUCCAAUUCUGUUGCUACACUUUUAUAAGAAAAUUGCCUUGAAUUAAUCUUUUAAUAUAGUUGACAGUUAUACGUGGUAGAUUUUUAUUAUGACAAAUGACAGUUUAUAAGUUAUAUCACAUAAAAUUUAUUUCCGUUUUUUGUAAUAUCAUAUUGCUAUAGUGUAUAAUAAUAAUAAUAAUAAUAAUAAUAAUAAUAAUAAUAAUAAGAUAAAAAAUAUAACAGCCCGUUUUCAGUGAAGUUAGAAUAGUAGUUUUGGGACCACAAAUUUGAGUCCGGAAGAAAAAUUAUUUUAAUAUUAUUUCAUGGUCUGCAGUGUGAUUGAAAUAUCGCAUGAAAAUUUCGUAAAGAAAUUUUAUCGGUUGCAUGUCUAAUUAGAUGAAAAGGACCAAAUUGCAUAAAAUGAAAAAGUUGAGUUCUAGUAGCUAUAUGUAUCAAAUAACUAUGGAAUUCAAAGUUUGAGGUCCUUAUAUGGAAAAUAGACUAUUAAGAGGAGUUAGUAGAUAAGUAUGGUUAGUCAUCAUUAGAAAAUUUAAUAAAGAAAAGGACUAAAUUGGAAAGUAAAAGAUAAAAAGAUGAUAAAUAAUAAAAUAAAAGAAAAUAUCAUCAUAUUAUCAUCUUUCCUAAAUUAAAAAGAUGGAAACCUUAGCCAUGGAAAUCUAAGCUCAAGCCAACUUAUUUUGCUUAAUUAGGUAAGUAUUCUUAACUCAUUUUUAAUGAUUGUUAUAUUUUCGAGAUCGUAAUAGCUUAAUCUAGCUAUCUCGGGAAUUAAUUUGUAAAGUUAUCAAAGUAUUAGGGUUUUUCCAUGGAUGAGUAUGUAUGAAUUAUGAAGUUUUAUGGUAGAAAAUGAAAGUUUGUUGAUAGAUAAACAACUUUUGUAAAGAGAAAUUUGAUGAAAUUAUGAUUUAGGGACUAAAUUGAAAAGAUGUAAAAGUUAUGGAAAAAUUCUAAAUUUUGUAAAAUACAUGGGUUGAUAAUGUUACAUGUAAAAAUCGAUUAGGCUUGGAAUAAGGAUUAAAUUGCAUGAAUUUCAUUUUCCGAGCCUAGGGACGAAAUUAAAUUAAUUAAAAGUAAAUUUUAUUAAAUGUAAAUUUUAUUAAAUUGAUGUUAAAUUCAUUCGUUUAGAUCCGGAUAGAUCAAAUACGAAGUUAGAUCGUGAAAAAGAAAAAGUAUCGGAUUAGUAGACAACAAAUAAACGUGCAAUUGUCAAGGUAAGUUCGUGUAACUAAAUUGUAUAUCUAUAUGUUUGAAUUAAAUGUUGUGUAUGUGGAUGGUGUAAUUUCCAAGUAUGAAAUUUGUAUAAAUUGCUAUGUGUAUUUAUUAAUCACAUAAUCAACAAUGACCGACAAGUAUUAAGUCUCAUUUGAAUAAAUGAAAUUCGAUGGAUACGGGGUUCCCGAUUGGCUGUGAUCCUGCAUGUGUUACAGACACACCAUAGCUCUUACGAGCGUCCCAAUAUUUGGCUCUCACGAGCUUCCCGUUAAUAGCUCUUCGAAGCAUCUCGAUUGGUUGUGAUCCUGCAUGUGUUUUAGAUACACCGUAGCUCUUAUGAGCUUCCCGAUAUAUGGCACUCCAGAGCUUUCUGUUAUAUAGUUCUUGCGAGCUUCCCAUUAUGGCUCUUAUGAGCUUCUCGAUAAUUAGCUCUUCAGAGCUUCCUAAUAACUAGCUCUUUUGAGCUUCCCAUUAUAUUGCUCGACAGAGCUUCCCAUUUAUGUGCUCGUAUGAGCAUUCCUGAAUAUGAAUUGACGAAUUACAGUUUUGUACACUUUGUCCAUGUACUACCUGUGUAUCCAACGACAUUUUAAAUGAUUCAACGGGUAAAAUCCUGACAUGAGAAAAUAUGAGUUCAAAAUGAAUCAUUACUUGUAUAUACAUGAAACACAUGGAAAUUUGAUAUUUGAUGAGCUCAUACAUGUUUCUUGGUAUUCAUGUGAAAUACAUGACUAGCAUGUUUGAUGAGGUUAUGUGUUUAGGCUAUUAGCCAAAUUUCUUUCGAUGUAUUUUGUAUUCUUACCUUAAAUCUAAAUAAAUGGUAAGUUAAUUUCCGUUAUACAAACUUACUAAGUAUUAAGUUCUUACUCUGUUUCAUUUCCUUUGUUUUAUAGUAAUUUGGAAGCUCAAUUUGGUUGGAAGCUGGUUGGAGCAACAUCUCACCAUCCUUCGGCUCAUUUUGGUAUAAAUAGCAGAUUACUUUUGGUUAUAAUGACAUGUAUAGGGUAAUUUGGCCAAUGUUGGCUUAAAAGUAUUUUGUUGUAAAUAGCCAUUGGAAUGGCUUGAGUUAGAUAAAUUUGAUAUGUAUAUAUGUGUGAAUUAUCAUGUUUGUUGUGUUGAUAUGGUUAUGAAUGGAUAAUUUAUGAGUAUGUUGAUGAAUGGUUUAAAAUAACAUGAUUGGAGAAAUAUGCAUAUAUGUUUCUAUGGUCAUUUAGGUAAGAUUGAAUACUUAGGCAUAUGAGGUGUUAUGAUAUGUAUUAAACUUGGUUUUGGCUUGAGUUAGAUUUAUUGUAUCAGCUGGUGAAAGUGUUAAUGGAGGUGGAAGACAAAUUGGCUGAGAAAAGUGGCCUUAGAAAUUACCUAUUUUAGUCCACACGGGCAUGUGUCUCAGCCGUGUGUGAUACACGGCCUAGCACAUAGGUGUGUAGUUUGGCCGUGUGUCCCCUGCAUCUUAAAAUUUGAGAAACAAAUUGCUCAAAAUAUUCACACGGCCUAGCACACGAGCGUGUGGCUUGGUCAUGUAACCCAAAUCAAAGAGCACCCUAAAUUGGUCACGGGAUGGGACACGACCGUGUGCCCUACUUUGAAUGCCCACACGGCUUGGCCACAGGGGCGUGAGUCCUCUGUACCUAGGCAAAAUGUUUAAAGUUUAGCAAAAAAUUCUCUAAGCUCUCGGUUUAGUUCUGAUUUAUUUCUAAUGUGUAGUUUGGACUUCGAGGGCUCAAGUGAGGGUAUGAUUGGUUUUGAUUUGAUUUCUGACAUGGAUGCUAAAUGAAAUGAAAUGUCUGUAUUUGAUCUGUAAGUUUCGGUAAUGCUCCGUAACCCUGUUUUAACGACGGAUAUGGGUUAGGGAUGUUACAAAAGAUGAGUACUUCGUAGUAAUAAACAAUUUAAAUACAAGAGUAAAAAAUAUUGUAAUUGACAUGUAACAUACAAAAAUUUUUAUAAUGAAAGAUAUAAAUAAAUUUUAUAAUUAUAAUUGUAAAAAUUUAUAUAACUUAUUAAUCAAAUAAAAAAAUGUAUAUAACAUACAAGAACGGGCUUAACCUCUUCCAACAGUAUCAUCUCCAAGAUUCGAGCAUGUGCUCUCUCUUUCAAAUUGCAAAAGACUUUACCACUACUCUCAACACUUAUUGGUAGCAUAUAAAAAAAUUAUAUAUUUGUAUGAUGAAAAGUAAUUUGAAAAUACAUGAAAUUAAUUAAUUUUCAUCAUAAAAUAUUAUAAUUGUAAUGCCCAAAUUUAGUGGUCAUAGUUGUUAGAUUCUAUCAUUAGCAAGUAUUUAUUUCAAUGGUUAGAGGCUCUAGUUAUGUGUUAGGGUCUUGAGUUUAAAUCUCAAUUCAAUCAUUUUUGUUCAUAGGCCUAUAUGAUUUAAAAUAAAAUAUAUUUUGUUGUCAAAAUAAUUUUGAAAUUAAUUUUAAAUGAGUUUCUUUUAAAAAAUAUAUAAUAAUAAAAUCAAGUAGUUAAUUUAAAAUGUAUUAUCUUUUGGGUUUGUUUUGAAGUAAACAAAACAAGGUAUUUAGUUUACGUUGUGCUUAUCCAUUCCAUUUUUUUAAAAAUUAAAUCCAUUUUGUUUUGUUUUAUUUAUUUUGUAAAAAAACCCAAACCUACGUUCCCAAUUCUGUUAUCUCCCUAACCCACGCCGCAAUUUCAAAUCCAAAAUAUUGUUUUUCUUUAUGCUUUCAUCUUUUCUUUUGUUCCUUCAUUUUUGUUUUGGGAAUAUUCUUUAAACGCUGGGCUGCUGUUAAUUUUUGAAGCAAUAGUUGUGAUCCUUUGACUGCAAAUCCAAUGGUAAGGGUUUAAGUUUAGUAUGUUAUGUGUUUUUGUAGAUGUGUUGGACGUUGGGUUGUGUUAGAUCAGACUAGUGAUAUUGUAUUAAUUCUAAUGCGUUUUUAGGAGUAGUACAAGAGGCAGUGGGUGACCUUCCAACAAUUUAGAAUUCUCGUAGUAGUUGUUUGUUUCUCGGUAAGUGUGUGGUUGUGUUAUGAAGUGUUGUUUAGUUUGAUUAGUGGUAGUGAUAUUGUAUUAAUCUUUAUUGAAAUUGGUUGUGUUAAUUAUCAAUGUAGGUUCUAGGAUUACUUGUGUUGAAUCAGCAUCAGAAAAUAACUAGGUGUGUAAUGAGAAACCCAAAAAACAGCGAACGACGAACGCCAAAAUUGGGCACUAUUGACGCCACAUGGCUGUGUGACAAACCAUGUGUCGGACUGUGUGUGACAUACGGCCUAAGCUAUUUUAGACUGUAUGGACCACAUGGGCAUGUGUGGGCCGUGUGCCAGGCCGUAUGGGCCAAAAAUUUAGAAUUUCUUCCUAGGGCCGGGCACGUCGUCCCGAUCGACUGUGGGUCUUCCGUGGGGUUGGUAUGUGAUUAAAUAUAAUAGAAAACACGAAAUUUGGUCAUCUGUUAACAUAAAUUCCGACAUCUACAAGUGUAUCUGAGCUGUCAUAUGAUAGUUUAAACUAAGAGUAAUGUUAUAUAUGUAUAUGAUUUGUAUUUGAAAUGUUUUGCAUGAUUUCUGCUUUGAUUAUAUCUGAUUAUGGGGGGAGGGAUAUAUUAUGUGGAGGAAAUGUUUCUGUGAGAGGCGAUAUUUCGCCCAUUAUACUAGCAGCACAACUGCAAAUAAUCUGAACAAUGUCAUACCGAUACUAUGUAACACCUCCUAACCCCAAACCGUUACCGGAACAGGGUUACGAGGCAUUACCGGACAUAUCAAACAAUUUACAAAUAAUUCUUAAAUAAAUAACCAACAUAUUAAAAUAAUUCAUAAAUUGUUAUAAAUUUUAAUAAUUGAUUUCAUUCAUUUUUAUAAAAAUUUUAGCAACAUUUCUGCUUAUUUUUACAUAAAACCCCCUAUAAAAUUUCAAAACAUAACUAACCCAAUUCCAGUAUUUCAAUCAAGGCAUUUAUAUACUUAAAUCUUACUUGACAUAUUGACAUAACAACUUAAUUAAUAAAAAUCCUAUUAUCAUUUCUAAUUAACUCAUAAAACUAAUCAAGUCAUUUCAAUUCGAUACCAAAGCCAUAAAGAACUUUUACCAUUUUACUAAUAUAAUCAUCAAAACACAUAAUAUCUUAGUUUACAACAAAACUAUAUAGCAUACCAAAAUAACUAUUAUAAUUCUUAUGUACAUGCCACUUUCAUUUAAGGAAGAAAACAUCACCAAAAUCUCAAUGCAAGAGUCGGGAUUGACCUGGAUGCUGAACCAAGACUCAGACCCCUAUUUCAACCUAUGUACAGAAACAACCGUAUGCUGAGUAUUUUAUACUCAGUGGUAUUACCAUAAUUCAAAUUAUAAUAGCAAUAAAGAAUUAUAAUUACGAAGCAUGUAACUAUCCGAUUUCUUGAAUAUCAAUUAAUUCAUAAACUUUCAUUAUUUAACAAUAACAAUAAAAUUUUUAACUAUUCUUCAAUCUCAAUCACAUAUCACAUGUAACAAUUUUAAUCACUACAUAAACAUUAAAUUCAUGCCUUUUAUUUUCAAUAUCAAUUUUCAAUCUGCAAAUUUUAAAUUUUCUCAUAUUUAAUACCACAAUCGAUCAAAUUCAUUUGAUUUUCUCAUUUCAAUUAUUCACCCUAUUAACAAUCUGGACUUUGACGAAUACACGGAUUCCAACCCAAACACACUAGUACGGCACAUUGUGCCUAAAACGGUACAUAGUACCUGAUCAGUAUACGACACAUAAGUGCCUGAAAUGACACACAAGGUGCCUAAUACGACACAUAAAGUGUCUGAUCGGCAAAGCCAAUAAAUCCCGUACUCUUCCAAAUCCUAUGGCAUGCCAACUAUAUCCGACUUAGCCUGACUAGUUAAUAGGGUAUUCAAAUUCUCAAUUCUCUUUCAUUUCCAAUUCAAGAUCACUUUUCCACUUUCUAAUCAAUUAACAAUUUAAUACCAAUACAUAUUUCAAAUAAUCACAUAUAAUCAUAUCUCAAUUCAAUUCAAACCACUUUUCAAUCAAUACACAAUUCACAUUUUCACACAUAUUUAUAAAUUAAUUCACUUUAUUUAAUUCAUAUUUUAAAUUCAUUUUUCAAUCAAAUUCAAAUCACUAAUACUUUUUAAUCAAUAUACAUUUCAAAUACUCACAUAUUUCCAUCAUUCAAUUCAAUUUGAUUCAAUUCAAGUCACUAUUAUCAUUCCAAUUGCUUACCUAAUUUUACUUACCAUGCAUUUUAAUUAAAAUAUAACAAUUAAUAAUAAAUAAAUUUGAAUUAUAGUAAUACAAACCCGAAUUUGCUUGAUUAUUCCUUAAUGACCUUCUCCUUCCCUUUUUGUGCCGAUACCUCGAAUUCUUUAUUAGCUACGAAAAUUAAAUAAUCAAAUAAUUAAUUACAGCACAAAUUUUACAAUAAAAAUAAAAUUUCUAUCAAAUUUUAUACUUUAAUUCCAAUUUAAUCCUAACUAGAUUUAUCUACUUUUCUAAUUUAAUUCACACUCUAUUUCUAUUCAAAACUUCUUCUAAACUCAAAUUUAUCUACUAAAUUUUCAUCAUUUUUCACUAAUUUCGAAUUUUCCACAAUUUAAUCCCUAAAAUUCAAAACUUGUAGUUUAGUUUACAAUUCAAUCCUUUAUUCAAUUCCAAAUAAAAUUUCUAUCAAAUAAAUCCUCAAUUCCAUCAUUUAUUCAACAUAAACCCUACUCAAAAAUCUAUUAACUUUCAAAUUUUUAACUUAAAUCCAAGAGUAAUUCACUCUAGGAUUCCAAAAACAUCAAAUUUAUGAGAAAAGCACUUGAUUUAGCUUACCUAUUAAACUUCAAGCUUCAAAAUCUCAAUUUUCCCCCUUUCUUUUCUUUCCCUUUUUCUUCCCCUGUUUUCGUCUCUUUCUCUGUUUCUUUUCUGUUCUUCUUCUCUUUUUCUAUUCUUUUAUUUCUUUUGUUUUCUUUUACUUUUUGUUAUAAUAAUAUAAUAUAUAAUAAUUAAUAUAAAUAUCUUUUACCACAUGUCAUAUUCAUAACCAUACAUUUGUCUUAAUUUUAUUUAUUUCACAAUAUAAUAAUAAUAAUAAUUUAAUAAUAUAUUUUAACAAAUAAAAAUCUUAGAUUUUUAUGCUCCUCAAAUUUGACAAUUGGCAUAAUUGGCCAUUUGGCCCUUAUUAUUUUCCUUUAAUCUAUAAUUAAACUUUCACUUCUAUUGUAAUUUAAUCCUUUUUACUAAUUACUCUUAAUUAGACUAAAUUCACCUAAUUAAUACCUAAUUAAGCACUAAACUAAACUCUUAAUUAUUUCUAAUAAUUAUUUUCGAACUCAAUUUACUAAGACGGAGGCCCGAUAUAAUACUUUUUCGAUGCCCGUGAAUUUUUGGGUCAUUACACACUAAGUGGUGUGUAGGGUUGGAUGGAUAUUUAAUACUCUAUAUGGUGUGUAGGGAUGGUUGGAAAUGGUGUGUAGCAGAUGAGGGUAGGAUUGUAAAUUUGCUUAUGGUUCUGAUUCUGUAUAAGAUAUACAUUUGUAUCUACUCUACUUUGUAAUGAAUCUGAAAAUUAAAACCGUAAUUUUGUUUUCUUUAAAGUUACACACUGAGUUAUGAAAACUCACUUUUUGUUUGUCUAUCACUUUCAGGUAACCCUCAGACUUAGGCAGGUCAGUGCGACGGGAGCUCGGUUAUAACCAUAUUUUUGUAAAUUUAGUUUAUUUAAAUUUGGGUUUGAGAGUUUUGUAAAUUUUGGAGUAUUUAGACAAUUUUUUUUGGUUUUGGGUUUUGGACUUUAAUUUCGUUUUUCGUAGUUACCGCUUAAAUGUUUUGUCGACAAGGUUCGUUUUUCUGCAAAUAAUGGGUUUCAGAUUAACAACUGAGUUUUUCAAAAAUUUAAUGUUUUAAGAAUUUCCGUUGCAAAGUAUUCGUUUUAUUUAGCAAAUAUAAAAAACCAACAUUCCCAAUUAAAUUGUUAUAUUGAAUAUGUUUUCCUAUAAAACUGGUUCUUAGAUAACAAAAUUUUAUGAUGAUUUCCAAAAUAAUCAAGAACUGGAUUUACAGCUAUUUUCUUUUAAGUAGCAUCCUCAGAUUUAGUCAUAGCGUCUAGGACGGGUUUGAAAUGUUACAUUUAGUGGUAUUAGAGUCAGGUUGCAAAACUCUGACUAUGAAAUUUUGGGUUUAAAAUUAUUUUUGAGAAAAUCAUUUGUUUAAAUAUAGUUUAUUUCUAUAUGAAUCUGAAAAGGAAUUUUGUGAAAUACCGAGUCUUUGGAACCGAUUCUGUAAGUACUCCUCACUCAGAAAUACUUUAGUUUAGGAAACUCUGAAACGAUUAAAACCAUAUUAAGAUAGUUAGAGACUGAAACAUUUUUGGGAUUUUUGAAAUUUCUUCUAACAAUUUUUUGAGGCAUAAAAUGUCUGUUAAUAAAUACUUGAACUGUAACACCCAAAAACCUGACCUAGAAUUCUAGAUCGAAUCCCGGAGGUUACAUUGACCACCGAAAGUGGCGAAAAGAAAAACUCUAUUAUAAACAUAGAAAAUCCUUUGGUAAACCAUCUUGCCAUAACUUUUAGAAAGUUAGAUAACACUUAGUUAAAUUUUGAAACAAAGUUUAAUUGGCAUUAAACGCAAGUCAGAAAUAAACCAAAUGGAAUUCCUUGAUAGUUUCGAAAGCAUCAAAUUUUGUCAAUCACAAACCAUAAUUUGAAAAUCGUGAUAUAACAAAACUUAUAAAUUGUUUAAAACUGUAACACCUAGUUGAUCGAAAAUCCAAACUCAACCCAUACCACAAUUUUUAUAAUCUUUCCUACAAACCAUUUGAAAAUAACAAUUGAAAUUUAAGUAGCAUCAUUUAAACCAAACCAAACACUUAUCAUCCCGAGACCUCCAGCAUGUUGAGUCCAACUUUCGAACAUAAAAAGUACCUAAAAGAAAGAAUGUUACAAUGAGGUAAGCUGCGUGAGCUCAGUGUGAGCCCGGAAAAUAAAACAGAUGGCAAAAGAUGGAGUGACACAAUAAAUAUUCCAAACAAGUAUAUGUAUAAAAAUGACUUACAAAAAUCUCAAAGCGGUAAUCCAGUAUACAAAAAUGUAUUCAAAGAAUAUCAAAGCACAUAUUAAUUAACACACUUAUUAUAUUAUAUUAACCAUAUCACCAAUAUCCCAAUGCUUACAUAAUCAGAUAUAUAUUCAGAUGCGUAACGAAUGUAACGAGUCAAAAACCUACCCCAACCAUUCGAACACCAUUCCGUCCCUCCUGCAUACCACAAUAGGGAUAUGUUGGACCCAACCACCCUGCACACCACAUAAGACCGUAAUAGGCCUAUCCACAUUGCACACCCUAUAUGUGGAAUUGAGCCACUCAAAUAAUAAUAUGCAACUGAGCUGACAUAUGUAAAGUUGUGCACUAAACUGUAUUGCAGUUAAAUUGCCAAAUCAGUCUUCUUUCUUUCCAUAAGCAAAUCCCAAAAUUUUCAUGCUAAUGCAGUAUUGCACACAUACGCAAACAAACAUACAUAAACAGACAUUCACAUUUCCAGUUGAACAAAUUCAGAGUUGGUUAUACUUGCAUUCCAAUAAAUACACGAACCCAAACUUGACCGAGUCCUAAACACACUUAUCAAGGCUUAAUCGAGGGUCGAAUUACACAGAAACAUAAAACGAGACUGUUUAUGACUCAGAACAAAAAUCAGUGAAACAGUGCCACACGGCCGUAUACCCUGACCAUGUAGAAGAGUCAAGGUCAUGUGAAGAACAACAUGGCUGUGCAAAAAAGACACACACCCAUUGGAAGAAGCACACGUCCAUGUGGAGGAGACAUACACCCAUAUGUUUGAGUUGUAUGGCCGUAUGAGUAGCUCGUAUAACUCACUGUUCAAGAGUGCCUAUUUAAGGAACAGAGUAGAAAUGAUCGUGUAGAAACUCACACGCCUGCGUGGCUAAGGGACACGGCUGUGUGUCCAAGGCAUAUGCCCGUGUAAAAAUUAACAAAAAUCCCUAAAUAAUAGCCACAUGACCGUGUGGCACUAAAAAAGGUCCAAAAUCUCUAAUUUGCAAAGUCACACAACCGUGUGGACCGUCCGUGUGCGGCAUACGCUCGUGUGGCCACCCGUACGGUCACAAAACCACUCCGAGUUUCACGAUAGCAACGCAAUCCCUAAUCGCUAAUGGUUCAAAAACACACCUUAAAGCGAAACCCUGGGCAUUAUGAACUGAUCGAUUCUCCCUUAGUGUACCAAUUUUAAAAUUGCAUAAACCGAUAUGCUAAUUUAUAAGCAACAACCAAAACAGUACAAACAAAUUGACUAAGAAUAACCUAAAACUCAGAACGAAACAAUUAAACAACACAAUACUUACAUAAUUCACAUCCAAUUAAAUGAAACACACGAGGAAAAUCAAUCAACAAUGACGAUGAUAAACCCAGAAUUAAUUUGAAGAACAGAAGUACAAUGGUUCAAAAAUCACAAAAAAAUGAAAGUGAGAAAGGAGAAGGAACGAAAAGAAAAUUUACGUGCAAGAGAGGGAGAAGAGAGAAGAGUAACGUGGGAAAAAUAGUUUGGGAGAUAACUUCCUAUUUUAGAUUAAAAGUUAAAUAAAAAAUAGAAAUAACUAAAUUAGUAUUUAAAACAAAUAAGAAAAACUAGAAUAAAAUUAAUUCUUCAAAACACACAUGAGGACUCGAACACGAGACCCAAAGGUAAACUAACACACACUCAACCUCCGAACCAGUAGGCUCAUUUUGAUAUUGAAACGUGAUAAUAAACCCAAUUGCUCAACCUACUUAUUGAUCCUAACAACAAACCUCAAAACUUCUAACCCUAAAUUUUAGGAUGUUAUAGGAACUGAUAUAUAAAACUUUUUAAUAUAAAUAAUCUAUAAAAUGAUGAGCACUUAUGGAUCACAUGGAUGCAGCAUUCAUGGGUGUGGUAGACACCGUAGAGGGCUCGAGCUGAGUCAUCAUCGAUGGGUAAUAUGCCCAAUUUGAAUACGAGUGAGAUGCCGACUAUACCUACUGUUCAGAACGGGUUUCAAAGUCGCUCGAUUGGUGAUGAUGCAUUGUCUCAGGCCAUGCUGAGGGUUUUGGAGAGGGACACUGAGCCCUAUUCAGGAUCUGGGAGCUGUUGGUUGGUUACUAAACAACUUCAGUCCAAUAGUACUAAGUUGUUUAGAGGUGUCACUAGAGUCGUCCCUACGAUGGUUGAUUAUUGAUUAGAGGCCAUAGAGAUGAUUAUAAAUGACAUUGACUGCUCCUUCGAGCAGAAGUUCAAGGGUGCAGUAUCUCUGCUUCAUAAUGAGGCAUAUCAGUAGUGGUUAACGGUUGAGGAGGGUCCCAGAUUGGAUUACUUGGGAUCAGUUUAAGAGCGCAUUCCAGAGUAAAUAUGUGGGGGCGAGAUAUGUGGAUACUCGUGGAUGCGAGUUUAUGAUCCUUACCUAGGGGGAUAAGACUGUGGUCGAAUAUUAGGUUAAAAUUUUUUCGACUGAGUCGUUAUGCUCGUUGGAUAGUAUCAACUGAGUAUGAGAAAUGUAUUCGUUUCGAAGAAGGAUUAAGGGGUAAUCUGAAGGUUUUGAUAGCUCUACAGAGGGAGCAAAAAUUUACUGUCUUGAUGGACAAGACGAAGAUCACUGAAGAGGUUAAGCGCGUUGAGCGCGAAAAUAGGGAGUGUGAAAGGGGUAAGAAUAAGAGGGAUUCAGAGCCCUCUAGUUCUACUCAGAUGCCUAAGAAAUGGGCUAGAUCUGACGGGCCUUCAAGGAUUGGGGUUCCAAUUACUCCUACUGUGGCUCAACCGUGUGGGAACUGUGGUAGACGCCAUCUGGAUGAAUUUUGGAGGAGGUUAGGAAUGUGUCUAUGAUGUGGGUCGAUGGAGCACCGUAUCAGAGAUUGCUGAUAACAUUCUGAUCAAAUACAAGCUCCAGCUCCAGGAUUUGUUCAGCCUUAGUGGGUAGUUCAACAACCGCCUAGGGGCCGUGGUUCGGCUAGGGGUGGUAACGGUAUGGGUAAAGGUUAGAGAGUAUUGGGUAGAGGUGCUAAUCAGACUGAGUCGAGGUAGCCUUUGUUGGUUUACGCUCCUAGACAUUGUGAGGAUAGAGACGUCGUUGAUGUUAUUACCGGUACAUUUUUUUAUCCAUAUUGCCCAUUAUUUUGCAUUGAUAGAUAUAGGGUCAACACAUUCCUAUGCAGCUAGCUCUGUUUCUCUAAACUUGGGGAUUUCUGUUAAGAGCACUUCCGGAGAGAUUAUUAUACUUAGUUCAUUGGGUUAAUCAUUUUGGGUUAAUAAAUUGUAUAGGAUCGUACCGUUGGAGAUUCAAAGGGUUGUGUUUCCAGCUAAUAUGAUGGAGCUACCAUUUGGGGAAUUUGAUUUGAUUUUGGGAAUGGACUAGCUCGUGGAUCGUCAGGUCAGUUUGGGCUGUGCUAGUAAGAGGGUAGUUAUGAUAUUAGAGAAUGAUGUGGAGGUGGUUAUGAUCGACAAGCAUCGGGAUUAUUUAUCCAAUAUGAUCUCCGCUCUUGUGGUCGAAAAGUUAGUUUGAAAAGGGUGUGAAGCAUAUUUGGCUUUUGUGAGUGACUCAACUUUUGUGGGUUCGUCAGUUAGGACAUUCGGAUGGUUAAAGAGUUUCUUAAUUUUUUUCCCAGAAGUUACCGGAUUUGCCUCCGGAUUAGGGGGUCAAGUUCGGUAUUGAGCUUCUAUCGAGUUCAGCUCCGGUGCCCAUCACUCUUUAUCAUAUGACACUGAAAGAGCUUAUAAAGUUAAAAGCUCAGCUUUAGGAACUCCUUGAUUGAAGUUUUAUCCGUCUCUGUAUGUCUCCUUGGGGGCACUAGUUUUAUUUGUAAAGAAGAAUGAUGAUAUCAUGAUGAUGUAUAUCGACUACUGACAGUUGAAUAAGUUAAAGGUAAAGAAUAAGUACUCACUUCUGAGAAUUGACAAUUUGUUUGAUUGAUUUCAUGGGGCUAUGUGUUUUCCAAGAUAGAUAUCCGUUCUGGGUGCCAUCAGCUCAAGGCUAAGGAGGUCAAUGUUCAUAAGACUACUUUUAGGACUCGUUAUGGGCACUACGAGUUCCUAGUCAUGCCCUUUGGUUUGACGAAUGCUCCGGUUGCAUUCAUAGAUCUUAUGAACUGAGUUUUUCAACCCUACUUGGAGCAGUUAGUCAUGGUCUUCAUAGAUGACAUUCUGGUGUACUCUAAGACUGAAGAUGAUCAUGAUGAGCAUCUUAAAGUAGUUCUUCAAAUACUCCAGGAGAAACAGUUCUACGCUAAGUUGAGCAAAUGUGAAUUCUGGUUGAAGGAGGUGACUCUUCUGGGGCAUGUGGUUUCUACGGAGGGGAUCCGAGUUGAUCGUAGGAAAAUUGAAGAUGUGCUUAAGUAGAAACAGUCUAGGAAUGUUUCUAAGAUCUGCAAUUUUCUUGGGCUUGUGGGUUAUUAUCGGAGUUUUGUCAAGGGGUUUUCUUUAAUUGCAGUUCCUUUCACUAAGUUGUUGCGUAAGAACGCCCCAUUUGUUUAAGUUGUUGCAAAUCACCUAAAAAUGCUUCUAGCUGGAAGUGUUUUCAUAAAAUCGGUCUAUUCCUGUAAAUUUUCAAAAAUAAGUCUAUGCAUGUAAUUAUAUUUAAACUAAGUCUAUUCAUGUAUAGAAGUUGCUAUGGAUUCCAAAAGGGGAUGGAAUUGUAAUAUUUCCACAUACUUCUUUAGCACAGGCAGGUUCUUGAAAUUCUGCUGCUUGUAAAAUUGGGCAUAACAGGAAGUAUGAAGUAGGAGGAUGAAGUAAAGCGCUAAUUGAAAAUCCAUUUUCGUUGCUAUUUUGAUUGAGGGAAAUGAAUGAAGAUUUAGAUUGGGUUACUGAAGAAAUCAGGUUUUAAAGAAACAAAAGCAGGGUUAAGUAGCACCACGAGAUAUAAAUUAUAAUUCUUAAAGUAGCACCACUAGUGAUUUUCUUUUGUUUUUAUAAUUAGCACCACUAAAUGUAAAUUAUAAUUCUUAAAGUAGCACCACUAGUGAUUUUCUUUUGUUUUUAAAAUUAGCACCACUAAAUGUAACUUAUAAUUCUUAAAGCAGCACCACUAGUGUUUUUCUUUUCUUUUUAAAAUUAUUACCAUUAGAUGUAAAAAUAAAUUAUAAUUGUUUUAGACGUAAAUUUAGUAAUAUGAAUGAAAAAAAAAUAUCUUCACCUAUUUAAAAUUUUCUUUAAAUUUGUACUUCUAUAUAUACUAUAGGCUUCAUUUUUACUUGGAGUUUGUCCCUAGAAAUAUAAUCAUACCUAUCUGCUCACGUCAAUCCCACAAGUCUCUCAUUUAUUUUUAUUUAACAUAUUAUAUAAAUUAUACUUUAUGAAUGAAUAAACAAAUGAAACUUACAUAUUUAAUAAUAAACUGCACAUUUCCUUAAAAAAAGAUAAUAUACCGCACAUGUUACAAUGCAUUUUCCAAAAAAGAAAAAGAAAUGUGACCAUAUUAUAUAAUUUAUAGUACAAACAAAGGUACUCAUAUUUUACAGUUCAUCAUUUUUAAUGUUUGAGCCGUUUAUGGACUGUAGUCGGCCAACACGAUUUGGUCGGAAACAAGUGAAUAUAUUACGGAUAAACUAUUGUAGAGUUCACUAAAUUACAGUUUUCUUUAAUGGUUGGAUUAUGAAAAGUUACAAAAUAGUUAUUCAAUUGUUAUUAAAUUUUUGUUUUAAUCAUUCACUGGCUAACAUAAAAAUAGAAACACUUAAAAUUUAAGAUAGUUAGGUGAUCAAACAAAGACGAAAUCAAAUAGUUGAGUAACUAUUUUACAACUUUUUAAAGUUGGGUGAAUAAAAAAAAAGAAUUCCAUAGUUGGGUGACAACUAAUGUACUUUACCCAUACAUUAUAUUAUAUUAUAUUUCACAUGUAAAACAACCUUAUUUGCUACGAGUCAUUUUUUUUUGUCCUUCUCAGUCCCCUCUAUUAGGGGUAUAAUUGAGAUUCUGAUGCUUGCAAGAUUACUUGAGUUUGAUUUGAAAAAAAAUUGAAUUUGACUCAAAAAUUAUUGAGUUGAGCUCGAGCUAUCGAUCGAGCCAAAUUCAAGCUUAGUAAUACUUGGCUUGAAUAGCUUUCAUAUUUUUUAUAUUAUUAAGUUACUUGAUUUUCCUUAAUUAACGAGCCGAGCUCAAGUACAAAAAAUUGAUAAACGAGUUUAAUCGAGCUCGAAUUCAAGUAGCUCGGUUAUAUCUCAAGUGAGCUCGAACUUAAAAACAAAUGUUCAAUUAAACUCAAAUCAAAUAUUGAGUUUCAAAAUUUAAAUCGAGCUUAGUAAUAUUCAAACUCGGCUCGAUUACCCUCAACAAACUAAUCAGUAUAGCAAGUAUCUGCCCCCGUAAAAUGUGCAAUGCACCUCAUUUGCUCUCAUGGCAUCUUCUUUUCUAAUUCAAUGUACAGUAGAAAUUUCCAAGCUAGAUUUGCAAAGAAAGACGAUAAUCUCAACUUUGUUGACAAUUUCCUCACAAUCAAGCUAAAGUUUUCCUAUUCAGAAGCUUUUAUGGAAAAGUCAACUCUCCUCAUCACAUACAAUCUUUAUCAUAUGUGCGUUUUUUUAAUAUAGUAUAUGCGAUUUAUGUUGAAUAUAUUCAAUAUAUUUUGAAAAACCAGCAAGCUAACCAAGUAUACAACAAUAAACAAUAUCAAAUUUGUUCCCAAGAUAUUUGUGGACCUGCUGCUGUAUUUUCAUCUUAAAGUAAGAAUUAAGAGUUGUGUAAAAUGAGUAACUUUCCAUGUGGGGUUUUAUGAUGGGAAACCACUCAGAAACCUUCUUUCAACUUAGUUUCUUUAAAAAAUAAUAAUGCAUUUUAGAAUUAUCUGGAAAACAUCCAAGCAAAGCAAAACCUAUUCCAUGAUGAAUGCUUUUUCACUUGUUAGCCAACUUACUUUAAGAAGUGUUAGUGACAUUUUGAGAUAAACUUAGUUGAUUUUUGUUUUGUUGAUUUGCCUUUUUAAAGUGAAACCAUCAGUUUUACUAUUGUAUGUUUUUUAAAAAAGAUUCAGGUCACACAACUCUAACACAACAGGUAUAAAUAAAUUUUAUAAUUAUAAUUGUAAAAAUUUAUAUAACUUAUUAAUCAAAUAAAAAGUUAUAUAACAUAAUGAAAAUAAUUUUAAUUAAAUUUAUUUAAAAAUAUAAAAUUAAUUUAACAUUUUAUAAUUUUAUAAUACCACGUCAUUAGAACUAAUAUAUAUCCUCAAUAAAUUAAAAUUCACAUGUGAAAGAAGACAAUAUUAUAAACAAUUGAGCCAAUGUUUUUGGUUUCAAAAUCUUUUGUGGAAAAAUCCGCACUUCAAUGGUGAUGAGUAGCGAUUACAUACUACCUUUAAUUAAAGGAGGCAAAAGCUGAUCCGUGUAUUGAAUACUUUCCCAUUUGUUGCAACAUACUAAUACUAUAGAUAUAGAAAACAAAACGUGAUGAAUGAUGAAUGCUUUUCAACCUACUUUACUGGGUUUCCAUACUGUAUAUGUUUUUCUUUCUAUGCCAACAACAGUAGUCAAUGUGCCCUGCUUUAUUUGUGGACCUGCUGCUGUAUUUUCAUCUUAAAGUAAGAAUUAAGAGUUGUGUAAAAUGACUAACUUUACGUGUGGGGUUUUAUGAUGGGAAACCACUCAGAAACCUUCUUUCCAUAAUAAUCGGAAAACAUCCAAGCAAAGUGAUGAAUGCUUUUUCACUUGUUAGCCAACUUACAUUUUUUUUUUAGCUUUUAGAGACAAACAAAACAUGAUUAACUGUUUGUUAGACUCGUCUGAUUAAACACGGUUUACGCCAUAUACCAUAUAUGAUAACAAAGAAAUUCUCCAAUUUGAUCCACUCUUGUGCUUUCUUUCUAUGUGAACAACAAUAGUUAAUAUAUUCAAUUUCACGAAACUCCGAUAAAAUUACUGCAGAAGUUUAUCGAGAAUUAAUUUUUUUAUAGCGAUUUUCAUACGGAAAAUUCUAAUUCAAGAGUUUGAGAAGUCAUUGCUGGGCUUUUGGUAGUUAAUAGGUUUUGAAUGAGCUUGGAUUAAGUUGAAAGAGAGGAGAAAUUGAGAUUUUUGGACUAAAUUGCAAAGUUGCUUCAUCUACCAUGGAUUAUUGGGCAAAUCUAGUGAGAUAUAAGGAUUCUAUUCCCGAUACAUGGAGAUAGUUCUUUCUUUUAUUUGGAUUAAGGGCUAAUUACAAAUUUCUCCAAGAAUAGGAUCUUUCAAUAAACAAUCAAUACAAGAAGGGAUUGAGCCACUUUAUUUAUUUUGAGAAAGCGGAGUGUACUCCAGUUUCAUCAAAUGACACAAAGCUAGAGGAAUACGACCAGUAAAAACUAUUAUUAGUGAGGGAUAAAAGGCUGAUGUUGUUCAAAAUUAAAUCUUGAAGGAUUCAACUAUAACCUUCCUAACUCGGUUAAGAUGUUAUGGUUGAAUUUUGAAGACUACAUUAGCCAUCGAAAUGGCUCCAUAGAACCAAUCAAAUUUGAAAACAUUCUUUUUAACUAACUUUUAGAAAGCUUAAUGUAACUGCCUUGGGAUUAUCAAAACGUCAUUAUUAAGUUGAGUUAACUUAAGAGUCCAAUCUAAUAAGUGUUGUGGCAUUUUGAGGUAAACUUUGUUGAUUUUUGUUUUGUUGAUUUGCCUUUAUCUAAAACUCCAAUUACAUUAUUACGUAGUGGAAAAAGUGAAACCAUCAAUGUAUUUUUUAACAAAGAUUUGGGUUACACAAUUCUAACCAAUACAAAAAAAAAUUAUAAUAAAUGAUAUAAAUAAAAUUUAUAUAACUUAUUAAUCAAAUAAAAAGUUAUAUAUCUUUUUAUAUAUGUAGUCAAUUUUAUAAUAACUUAUUGAAAGUAUAUAUUAUUGGUAUGUUUCAUGUCUAUAUUACGAUCUAUGAUUGGAGUAUAUGACUACCUCUUCCAACAAUAUCGUCUUCAAGGUUUGAACACGUACUCUCUCUUUCAAAUUGUAAUAUACUUCACCACUACGCUCAACGCUUAUUGAUAGCUUAUCAAAAAAUUUAUAUUUUUAUAUGAUGAAAACUAAUUUGAAAAUCCAUAAAACCAAUUAAUUUUCAUCAUAAAAAAAUUAAAAUGCAAUGUUAUUUAAAUCGAACUGUCUAGUUGAACUAAAAAUCGAUUGAAAUUUCGAUUUAGAGGAAGGUAAAAGUUCAGUUGACCAGAAGAGAAUUAUAAAAAGUUUAAUUGUUUGAAUCGUAUUUUAUAAUUGUUAAUAUUUUAUUUUUAUAACUUUUUAAUAAUUUAUUUGAUUUGCACUUAACAUACUAAAAAUGGACGAUGUAAUUGUUUCUAUCACUUAUCCAUUCCAAAAACAUUAUAUCAUAUUCAACUUGAAUUGGAAGCUUUUUGAAAUUAUGUAUUAAGAUAUUCAAUUUGAUUGGUUCGAGAGUUGUUGACAGAGCAGUAAUGGCGUCGAGGAAAAUGGCGAUAAAGGAUAUGUUGGAUUCUGUUAAUAUCCCUUGCUUUCUUUAGUUGUACUCUCUCAAUGAAGACUUACUAUUACUAUGAUGAGUUACUCACCUCUUCUUAUUUAUAUCUGAAGAAGAAGAAGAAGAAGAAGAAGAAGAAGAAUAAGAAGAAGAAGAAGAAGAAGAAGAAGAAGAAGAAGAAGAAGAAGAAGAAGAAGAAAAAGAAGAAGAAGAAGAAGAAGAAGAAGAAGAAGGUCAAGGAUGAAGAAGAGCAAAAUGAGGUCCUUUUUUAUUAACGAUUUCAUCGACUUAGCAAAAGGAAAAGAAAAACAUAUCCAUAACUUGUAUGAUAAAUACCUUCAAGAGGUCAAAUAACAUUGAGUGAAACAAGUAUGAAUUCUUGGGAAACCACAAGACUCCACCAGUGUGACAAACAGCGAAGCUAAAGGCUAUCAAUCUAAGAGAAAUUGUUUCAGGAGUGUUGGAAACUAGAAAGAUGAAUUUAAUGGAAAAGUUACACUGUUGGUUGUAAUUGUCCUAGACAUUGAACAACUUGGAUUGGUCUCCCAUGAAUGGAUCAUGUCAUCUGUUUCAGAUUCUUCAUCACCAUGGUCUUCAAGAACAUUUUAUUGGCAAUAAUCUUUGACUUUUCAAAGAUGGAUGGUGUCAGAAAUUUGGCACCGAAAAUCUAAGCAUUUAAGGCAUAGAUUUUUGGGUUGAAAUUUGGCAUGGGAUAAUUGCAAUUUUGGUCCCAAAUUGCAUAGGGAUUUUGCAAGUUGAUCCUUGAGCUUCAACUAUAAAUAGGGCUAGCUAUUUCUCAUUUUCAACAUCCCACACAUGCCAUUCUCUACUUAAGGCAUUGUUCUCUCUCCUUAUUUGUAAAUUUUCACUUGUAUUUUGGAGUGAAAUAUAUUUGGUAGUGCCCGAGGAAGUAGGCAAAAUUUGCUGAACCUCGUUAAAAUUCUAGUGUUCUUUAUUGUUUAUUCUGCAUAUUUUGCGAGUGUGAUUGUAGUGAUUUAUUGUGCUAUUAAAUUAUGAUAGAGGGAUAUUCUGGCUAGGAAAGACUUGGUACUUAAGCGAUCCUCAUGAUCCACCUCUCUUUCCUGAGAAUUGAACUUAAUGUGAUUUUUUAGUACAAUAAUUUUACUCUUUUACACGCUUCCGCUCAACAAUUGGUAUCAGAGCUAGAUUCGUACUUGGGGAAUACGACCGUUUAUGAUACUAUUUAUGUAUACGAUAUUGUUCAUCCAUGGCACUAUUCACGUAGACGGUACUGUUCACGUAUACAGUAGUUGGGAUCGAGGAGAAGAAUGGCAGAGGCAUCGUCAUCAACAAAGACUACCGUGACCAAUGCAAAAUUUGAAGUAGAGAAAUUUGAUGGUACCAAUAAUUGGUAUGUGGCAAUGUGAGAUCCUGGAUGUCUUAUGUCAGCAAGAGUUGGAUAUAGCUCUUGAAGAAAAACCUGACAAGAUGGAUGAUAAGGAGUGGCCCAAGAUCAAUAGACAGGCGUGUGGUACAAUCCGCCUAUGUUUGGCCAAAGAGCAGAAGUACUCUGUCAUGAGGGAGACAUCAGCGAAGAAGUUGUGGGAUACACUGGAAGAAAAGUUUCUAACGAAAAGUCUUGAAAAUAGGCUUUAUAUGAAAAAGAAACUUUGUCAAUUCACGUAUGCACCCGGUAUGUCGAUGAAUGACCAUGUGAACUCAUUCAAUAAAAUUUUAGCAGACUUGCUAAAUUUGGAUGAGAAAUUUGAAGAUGGAGACAAGGCAUUAUUGUUGUUGAAUUCUCUUCCUGAUGAAUAUGAUCAUCUUACCACCAUAUUGCUUCAUGGGAAGGAUACGAUCACAUUUGAUGCAGUCUGCAGUGCGUUGUGUAGAUCUGAGACUCGAAAGAAAGAUAAAAGAGAUCACAGAGAUACAACUGCAGAAGUCUUAGCAGUAAGAGGUCGUUCACACAGCAACAAACCUGGUGGAAGGGGUAAGUCCAAAGGGAGACCUGCCAAAGAUUAAUGUGCUUUUUGUCGUGAGAAAGGGCAUUGGAAAAAGAAUUGUCCUAAGUUACAAAAGGGCAAGGCUAUUUCUGAUGCAUGUGUAGCGGAGCAUGAUGAGGAGUCUGACUUUAGCUUGGUUGGCAUGGCAAUUACAUGUCAUACGGAUGAGUGGAUUUUGGAUUCGGGAUGUAUUUACCAUAUGUGUCCUAAUAAGGACUGGUUUUCUAGUCUUGAAGAACUAGAAGGUGGAGUUGUUUUUAUGGGCAAUGACAGUGUCUGUAAGACAAUGGGAGUAGGUACAAUCAAAUUGAAGAAUCACGACGGCUCAAUCCAAGUCUUGAUGGAUGUUCGCUAUGUACCUAGCUUGAAGAAAAAUCUCAUCUCAUUAGGGGCCCUAGAAUCUAAAAGGCUCACAAUCACUUUGAGAGAUGGAUUACUAAAGGUUGUAGCUGGGGUAUUGACGGUGAUAAAAGGCACUAGAAGAAAUAACUUGUACUAUUUAAAUGGAAGUACAGUUAUUGGAUCAACAUCAACAGUUUCUGCGAAAGAUGCAGAUUCAGAGGCUACCAGGUUAUGGCAUAGGCGAUUGGGACAUGCUGGUGAAAAAGCUUUGCAGACUUUGGCGAAGCAAGGCUUGUUGAAAGGUGAAAAUUCUUGCAAAUUGGAAUUCUGUGAGCAUUGUGUUCUGGGCAAGUAGACGAGGGUAAAAUUUGGUUCAGCAAUUCACAAUGCAAAAGGAAUUCUGGACUACGUUCACAGUGACGUGUGGGGACUUACCAAAGUGGCUUCUUUGGGAGGUAUGCACUAUUUUGUUACUUUUGUUUAUGAUUAUUCAAGAAAAGUAUGGGUGUAUCUAAUGAAAAGAAAAAGUGAAGUUUUGGAUGCAUUUCUGAAGUGGAAGAAGAUGGUGGAGACUCAGACUGGUCGAAAGGUCAAACGACUUCGGUCAGAUAAUGGUACUGAGUACAAAAAUGAUUCAUUUCUACAAGUAUGUCAAGAUGAGGGCAUUGUGCGACACUUCACUGUUCGGGAUACACCACAGCAGAAUGGGGUGGCAGAACGCAUGAAUCGGACUAUACUGGAGAAAGUUCGAUGUAUGUUGUCCAAUGCUGGGUUGGGCAAGGAAUUUUGGGCUGAGGCAGUUACAUAUGUGUGCCAUCUAAUUAACCGGUUGCCAUCAGCUGCAACAAAUGGAAAAACUCCUAUGGAGAUGUGGACUGGUAAACCUGCUACUGAUUAUGAUUCUUUACAUGUUUUUGGUUCCACUGCAUAUUAUCAUGUAAAAGAAUCUAAGUUAGACCCAAGAGCAAAGAAAGUAUUAUUCAUGGGUAUAACUGGUGGAGUAAAAGGAUACCGUCUCUGGUGUCCUGAUACAAGGAAGAUUGUUUUCAGUAGAGAUGUGACUUUUGAUGAAUCAACCAUGAUGAAGAACAAGAUUCACAAAAGGAUGACAAAACCAGUGUUACUUUGUAGCAGGUGGAGCUUGAAAAAGUUAAUGAUGAUCCAGCUGAUAUUGAAGGAACAAAUGAUGAAGAAGUUUUAACCCAAGAACUUCUACAGCAACAAGAUUCAAUUGCAUAUAGGAGGCCAAGAAGAGAGAUUCGUAAGCCUGCUUGCUUUGAUAAUAUAGUGGCCUAUGCACUUCCAAUUGCAGAUGAUGAUGUUCCUUCUACUUACACAGAAGCAAUAAGUAACCCUGAUGGUGUAAAGUGGAAGCAAGCUAUGAAUGAAGAAAUACAGUAUCUUUAUAAAAAUAGGACUUGGGAGUUGGUGACACUGCCCAAGGGAAAGAGGCAAUUGGAUGCAAAUGGGUAUAUGCAAAGAAGGAAGGAUUUCCUGGUAAAAAUGAAAUUCGAUACAAGGCUAGAUUGGUAGCAAAGGGUUACGCUCAAAAAAAAGGAAUAGACUACAAUGAAGUGUUUUCUCUAGUUGUGAAGCAUUCGUCUAUUCAGAUUUUGCUAGCCUUGGUUGCGUAAUAUGACCUUGAACUAGUUCAGCUUGAUGUGAGGACAGCUUUUUUACACGGUGAUUUGGAAGAGGAAAUCUAUAUGACUCAGCCUGAUGGAUUCAAGGUUGCUGAUAAAGAAAAUUGGGUUUGCAAACUGACAAAGUCGCUUUAUGGAUUGAAAUAAUCUCCGAGGCAGUGGUACAAGCGAUUUGAUCAGUUCAUGAAAGGGCAAAGGUACAUGAGAAGUAAAUUUGAUCAUUGCGUGUAUUUUUAGAAGCUACAAGUAGGAACUUUCAUAUACUUGCUCUUAUAUGUUGAUGAUAUGCUGAUAGCAUCUAAGAGAAAAGUUGAGAUUGAGAGAUUGAAGACUCAACUCAAUCUUGAGUUUGAGAUGAAAUAUCUAGGUGAAGCUAAGAAGAUUCUUGGCAUGGAAAUAUGUAGAGAUAGAGCUAAAGGUAGAGUUAGUUUGUCUCAGAAGUAGUACUUGAAGAAAAUACUACAGCAGUUUGGCAUGAACGAGCAAACAAAACCUGUAAGUACCCUGUUGGCUUCUCAUUUCAAGCUUUCUGCACAACUAUCUCCUUCGACGAAUACGAAACAAAAAUACAUGUUACAAGUUCCAUAUUCUAAUGCAGUGGGUAGCUUGAUGUAUGCAAUGGUGUGUACAAGACCCGACAUUUCACAGGCAGUUAGUAUAGUGAGCAGGUAUAUGCAUAAUCCUGGAAAAGGACAUUGGCAAGCUGUGAAAUGGAUUCUACGGUAUACUUUGAAGACCGUGGAUGUUGGAUUACUGUUCAAGCAGGAUACUACACUUGGUAAAGGUGUUAUUGGGUACGUUGAUUCUGACUAUGCCGGUGAUUUGGACAAACGAAGAUCAACCACUGGUUAUGUGUUUACACUUGCUGGAGGACCAAUAAGUUGGAAGUCUACAUUGCAGUCUACAGUUGCAUUGUCAACUACGGAAGCCGAAUACAUGGCUGUAACAGAGGCUGUAAAGGAAGCUAUUUGGUUACAAGGUAUGGUUAAAACCUUGGGAUUGGUUCAGGAGCAUAUUAACGUGUUUUGUGAUAGUCAAAGUGCUAUUCAUCUAGAAAAGAAUCAAGUCUAUCAUGCACGUACAAAGCAUAUUGACGUACGAUUCCAUUUUGUGCGGGAAAUUAUUGAUAGAGGGAAAAUUCAUCUUUAGAAGAUCAAGACUGCAGAUAAUCCCGCAGAUAUGAUGACCAAGGUGGUAACAACAAUCAAGUUCGAACAUUGUUUGAACUUGAUCAAUAUCCUGCAAGUUUAACAGUUGAAGAAGGCACUAUCAAGUAUUGUUGUCAGAAAGAAUUGUGUGAAGAUAAGAAUCCUAAUCAAAUCUUCAAGGUGGAGAUUAUUGGCAACAAUCUUUGACUUUUCAAAGAUGGAUGGUGUCAGAAAUUUGGCACCGAAAAUCUAAGCAUUUAACGCAUAGAUUUUUGGGUUGAAAUUUGGCAUGGGAUAAUUGCAAUUUUGGUCCCUAAUUGCAUAGGGAUUUUGCAAGUUGAUCCUUGAGCUUCAACUAUAAAUAGGGCUAGCUAUUUCUCAUUUUCAACAUCCCACACAUGCCAUUCUCUACUUAAGGCAUUGUUCUCUCUCCUUAUUUGUAAAUUUUCACUUGUAUUUUGGAGUGAAAUAUAUUUGGUAGUGCCCGAGGACGUAGGCAAAAUUUGUUGAACCUCGUUAAAAUUCUAGUGUUCUUUAUUGUUUAUUCUGCAUAUUUUGCGAGUGUGAUUAUAGUGAUUUAUUGUGCUAUUAAAUUACGAUAAAGGGAUAUUCUGGCUAGGAAAGACUUGGUACUUAAGCGAUCCUCGUGAUCCACCUCUCUUUCCUGGGAAUUGAACUUAGUGUGAUUUUUUAGUACAAUAAUUUUACUCUUUUACACGCUUCUGCGCAACACAUUUCCACCUGAAGCGUUAAUCAACUCCAGCUCCAUUGCUACUUGUUUCAUGGUGGGUCUUCUCUUUCCAUUAAGAUUCAAGCAUCUUUUUGCUAGUAGGGCCACAACUAUAAUCUCCUGUUCUGGACCGUUCUUUUCUAACACUGGGUCGAGAAUGUUAAAUAAGGAAUUCUCCUGCAUUGAAUGCAAAAAAUAAGAUACCAAGCUUCUCACUGGCUCUGAUUGUUCUGCGGAGAUGGUUUUUGUCCUGUUAAAAGCUCAAUAAGAACAACUCCAAAGCUAUAAACAUCACUCUUCUCUGUAAAUUGACUUGAUCGAAAAUAUUCCGGAUCCAUGUAUCCAAAAGUUCCUUGUACCCGAGUGGUUAGAUGUGUUUGUUCAAGUGCAAUUGAUUUUGAAGUUCCAAAAUCUGAUACUUUUGCCCUAUAUUUAUCAUCCAAAAGUAUGUUAUUAGAUUUGAUGUCUCGAUGAUAAAUAGGAGCAGAAGCAGCUGAAUGCAAGUAGAACAAGGCAUUGGCAAUUUGAAUCGCAAUUCGUAAACGCAUUUCCCAUGUCAAUGGUAAUUCUUCAUUUUGGUUAUGAAUGAGAUCGUAUAAUGUACCAUUUGGGAUGAACUCAUACACCAAUAGAGGAACUUCAGCCUCUAAACAACACCCUAAAAGCUUAACCACGUUCCUAUGAUUAAUUUGAGAUAAAAUGAUCACCCCGUUAAUGAACUGUUCAACCUUCUUUUCAUCAAAUUUCUUUCCUUCCACCAUUUUGGAUUUCUUAAUAGCCACAAUGCUUCCAUCUAUUAGCAUUCCUUUAUAAACAGUCCCUUGACCUCCGUGACCAAGGAUUCGGUUUUCAUUAUAAGAAUCAGUCGCCUUUUUCAUCUCUUUUGAAGUAAACAACUUAAUUUUUUCAAUAUUACCUUCAUUGCUAGAUAAAUGUUGUUGCAGUAACAAACCUCCAUUCCUUUUGAAGUAUGAUUUUUUGUUUUCUUUUGAGGGCUCUGUACAUACUCCAUGUUGCGAGUAGUAAAAGUAGUGUCCCAACACUAGUGCUGCAACCUAUAUAGAUAGAAGAAACAUAGCUAAAGGUGAAUUUGAAAAUUAAAAUACAGGCUAAAAAACCAUGAAAAUGUUUCAAUAAAGUUUCAGUCAUUAGCCAUUCAUUUAAUGAACAAUGAGACAACCUUAUUACAUCAUUCAUUGUUUUCAUAUUGAACUUUUACAAAUUUAAUGAUAAAUAACAUUUAUUGUAUCACGCAUUUAAAAGUAAAUAAAUUACUAUUUAAAUUGACAUAAAUUAAAUAAUCAUAAUGAUUCCACUUUAAAAACAAGAAGUGUAAAUUCACCAUGUACCUACAAUAAAGCUUUUCAAAUUAGGAGUGUUUUGAAUUCGUACUUUGCGCUCGCAAUAAAGUCCCGUACUAUUGUAUUCAUAAUGAGGAGGGCAAGACUUUGACGAGCAAUAGUUGUUAGGGGUAUUCAAGCAAAGUAUGCUGCAAUACAGGUAAUUAUCACAUUUCCCACCUGCCAUUUAUGAAUUAAAAAAAAACAAAGAGAGAGGUUAUAAUCGUAUAAUUCAAUUAAAGUAUUGAAUUAAAUUAGUUUCUCUAUUAUUAAAUCGAUCAAUUUAAUCUCUAUACUAUUAAAAAGAAUUAAAUAAAUUUAAAUUAUAACAACAUUAACAUUUACUAUAUAAAAAAUAUUUAUUUGGCUUCUUUAAUUCUUUUUAUUCAUUUUUAUGGAAGUGACUAAAUUAAUUUAUUUAAUACCUUUUCCUCUUGUUCGUUAAAAUUACGCGUAGGAUUAUUCUAGCAAUAUGUAUGCAAAACCAUUAUUUGAAAAAAAAAAUAUUUAAAGCAUGAAAAUAAAAACCUCAUUGAGUAGUUAUUAGGAUGAUUUUGUUCAAAUUUCAUUAUACUUACUCAUUUUUGUAGAUUUUACAAAAAUAUAGAAUGAAAAAAAAUACUCUCAUAAUAAUAUUUUUUUUUAUAAAAGUAAUAGAUUUUCAUAAUUUUUCAACCGAGUUGAGACUCAAUUGAUGGGUAACACCAAUUCAAUUAGCCCUUUAAAAAAUAAUACAAAUUUAAGGCAGAUCCAUAAUGUGAGUGGAAAACAAUAUGCAAUAAACAUAUUUGUUAAAAGCUUAUAUAAGAAUCAAAUGAAUUCUUGAUUGAAAUGAUAAAGUUAAAUUUUAAAAUUUAAUGUGUGAAAGGUUCAAAUCUCACCAUGUUAGGUUUAUUAUGGAUUUUAUAUAAAAAUGUAAAAAUAUGAGAAUACCCUUAAAAUAAUAUAACUUAAUUUGUAUAAAAGAUAUUUUAAUAAAUUUUCGAUUAUGGUAUUAAGUAAAGAUAAUAUAGAUAAAAGAAUAAAAGUUCCCUAAAAAACCAUUAACUCAUACCUUUGCAUGACCUCGAAUAACUGAUAUCACUAGUAUCCUUGGAGCACACACAUAGAUGAGUAGAGCUCAACCUCGACCAACAAUAGUCACCCUCGAGUAUACAAGAAGUGUCCGAACUAUCGUUCAAAUAGCACUCUCUAUAUAUUAGUGUGCCCCAUUGCAGUUGCAUUGGGACAUGCGUCCUAUUACUUAGAUCAAAAUCAUCGGUGGAAAAAGAGUCAUAAGAAGCCAAGGAAACAAAUUCGCAUGAUCUUUUCCUCUUGUAAUCACUAGAAUCAACCACAUUACUCAUGUUUGCUAAGAAUGAACUGAGACCCUUAGGAAUAGUAAGAGGACAACUAACAAUAGAGGAAGUCUUGUCAUUAAUCCUACAACUUGGUUGCAAAAAUCCGCCUAUAAGAUUAUUUGUUUCAUUGCCUAAAAUAGUAAUCAAAUUACCACAACCUGAAGACCAGAAGUUGUUUUUAGAAUCUGAGUAGUAAAAGUGGGUGCCUGUUAGGUUGACACUCAUUCCAUUGUGAUGGUUUUUUUGACAGUUGGAGUAAGUUAUUGAAUGGUUGACAAUGAGGGUGCCAUCAAAAAAAAUUAAAGUCCAAUAUUUGCAGAUUCGUGCCAUUUAUGUUUAAGAAGGGCAAUUUUUACCCGUUGGCAGUUUUGGUGCAAUUUACUUUAAACCAGUCAUUGGAAUCAUCCUUGUCCUCCAUGCUAAAAGGGUAGUGAAAUUUAACAUUCCCAGUGCAAUUUACUUUAAACCAGUCAUUGGAAUCAUCUUUGUCCUCCAUGCUAAAAGGGUAGUGAAAUUUAACAUUCCCACAGUUCUCCACCUUGUAGGUGCUGAACUUCAUAAGUUCCAGUCCUGGUCUUUUGCAUCCUGCGGGCUUAGCGAAAAGGAAGUAAAUUACAAAAUCUACUAAAUGCAUGUACAUCCAAUGUUUGUAGGAAAUAAAAGCAAUGUGUCCUUCAGAAAAAUAUAUAAUUAUCUAAAAACAAGGUACAUAUACUAACAAAAGUAUUAUAUUGUAAAUAUAGGAGUUUAGGCUCCAUAUCAAGCAAUCCUAUUCUUUACCUCUAAUUAUUAAAAUAAAUAAAUAUUUACUAAAAAAUCAUAUGAAAAGUGUUAUAAGUUUUUUAAUUAAAUUUAUGUGUUAUUUGUGACAUUAAAUUCAAUAAAGGAUUUCUUAUUAAUAUAGUUACCAAUAUAAAUCUUAUGGUUGAAUUUGAUGUCAUUCACUAUUUUUAAUUAAAAAUACUUGCCCUUUAAAAACCUUUAAGGUACAAGCUUCUUACCUAAAACAUUUUAGGUAUUAAUUUAAGUUUUUGAAAUACAAAAGUUUUACCUAUAAGUUUUCUUUUUCUAAAAACUUUUAGGUAUAAAUAUUUGAAAAAGGAAAAUAUUAAUAUACAAAAUGAAUGAUUCUAAAGAUAAUUUUUAGACUAAUUUACUAAUAAAUGUCGAAAAUUUUUAAAACAAUUACGUGAAUAAGUUGAUUUUUGGAAAACGUUUUUAAUUGAAAGCAUUUUCAAGUGAUUUGUAGAAAAAUGUUUCCCACUAGAAGCAUUUUCAACGUAUUGACAAAAAAAUGCUUCCAACUGAAAGCACUUUUGUCACAUCAACAUUAAAAGAGGCAACGCCAAUAUUUUUUUUUAUUUCUUAAUGUCACUUAUUAAUGUGAAAAUAAACUUAAAAAAUAAGUUUUUAUAUAAACCCAAAGUCUCAUUUUUCUUAUUUUCUUAAAUGAUGUGGAUGUGUGAUAUGAGUAUAUAUAAGCUCAUAAUUUAUUUACAGCAUGUACCUAGACAAUAUGGGAUUGCUUACUCUUCUAACUAACAGCAUAAGAUUAUAGCCAUGUUUGUUUGGUUUCUUUUAUUAUUAUUAUUAUUAUUAUUAUUAUUAUUAUUAUUAUUAUUAUUAUUAUUAUCUUCUUUUAAAUUAUACUUUUAUACCAUUGUUGUAUAAAAUAAAAGUUGGAAUAAGCAACCUUCAAAUUAUAUAGUUUUUGGUUGGAUAUUAAUUUUUUUAUCAAAAAACAAUCUAAACUAUAAUUUCAUAAGAAAAAAUGUUGGUAUAAGAGUAAGCAAUCUCACAUUAUCUAAGAACAAAUUACAAAUGAAUUAUGAGUCUAUAUAAACUCAUAUCUUACAUCAUUUAAGAAAACAAGAAAAAUGAGAUUUUAGGUUUAUAUAAAAACCUAUUUUGUAAGUUUUAUAUUCACAUUAUUAAGUGACUUCAAAAAAUAAAUAAAAUAAAUAUUAACUUUGCCACUAUCGGUACUGAUGUGAUAGAAAAUACUUUCAGUUAGCAGUAUUUUUUUUUUGAUUUUUUGUCAAUAUAUUGAAAAUGCUCGUAAAAUUAAUCUAUUCCUAAAAAAAAUUAAAAAUCAACCUAUUCACCUAAUUUUUUUAAUUUUUCCGACUUAUUAGUAAAUUAUUCUUGAUUUUAAACAAUUAGCAAAAUCUAUACAUUAACUGAAUUAAAAGGAAAAAUGACAGCCAAGCAUUUGAAGUGACAGCGCGUGACUGACCUCCUUCACCGCAAUAGGUGGAAUUCCAGCUGAGCACGGCGGGAACAUGCGAGGUUCGAUUAUUGAUGCCACUGGGUAAUGAGUAACCAGUACUGGAAGAAUACACGCUAAAGAUGAAAGCAGAUGCGCAGCUUUUGCUGUCAGGAUACAUGGCUGUCAUGUUGACAGUAUAGGAAGUGAAAUUUGCAGUAAUUAGAGUAAUGCAGCCAGAUUCAGAAGCACCAUCGUCAGACCUUAGGUGAAUGCAGCCGCCAAGUGAAUCACCUUCGUUACUUAAAAUAGUAGCCAAAUUUCCAAAACCUACUGACCCGAAAUAAUUCAUGUCACUUGGGAAGAAAAAUGGAGUGCCUCAGAGAUCCACUCUCACACUAGCCUUAUUACAGUUAAUAUAAGUAACUGGAUUAUUGAUGAGAAUAGCGUCUGAAUAUUUGAAAUCAAGUACCUCCAGAUCGAUGCCAUUUACGUUUAUGAAUGGCAUUUUCGCAUUGCGGGUUUUGUUGCAAGUUACUCUAAACCAAGGAUGAGUAUAGCAUCCGAUAUGGAUUCCAAAAGGGGAUGGAAUUGUAAUAUUUCCACAUACUUCUUUACCACUGCAGGUAGGUUCUUGAGACUCUGCUGCUUGUAAAAUUGGGCACAACAGGAAGAGGAAGAGGAAGAGGAAGUAAAGCGGUAAGUGAAGACCCAUUUGCGUUGUUAUUUUGUUUGAGGGAAAUGAAUGAAGAUUUAGAUAGGGUUACUGUAGAAGUCUGGUUUUAAAGAAACAAAAGCAGGGUUAAGUAGCACCACGAAAUUGUAAAUUAUAUUUCUUAAAGUAGCCCCACUACUCUUUUUCUUUUUCUUUUUAAAAUUACCAUCACUACAUGUCAAAAUAAAUUAUAAUUUUUUACAUCUAAAUUUAGUAAUAUGAUAAAAAAAUGUCUUUAAUUAUUUAUUUAAAAGUCUUUUUAACUUCGUGCUUUUAUAUAUAUAUUAAGUGUUUCACAUUUAUCUGAAGUCCCCUCCUAUAAAUAUAUUUAUUCCUACCCCACCACGUAAAUCCAACGAGCGAGUCUCUUAUCUAUUCUUAUUCAAUCAUGACGGAAAUAAGACAAAAUAAAAAUACUCACAUUAAAUUUAGAGAUAAUUAGAUUCGAAUUGAUGACUUUCACAUAUAAUAUUCUACCACUAAAUCAUAUUCCUUUCCUGCCCAAUCAGGAAAUAGAACCAAGUAUUGGACAAAUGUGUAGCGAAACAAAAUUUUCUUCCGUCAAUGGCUCUUAUGAGCUUCUCGAUAAUUAGCUUUUCAAAGCUUCCCGAUAACUGGCUCUUAUGAGCUUCUUGUUAUAUGGCUUGACAGAGCUUCCCGUUUAUGUGCUUGUAUGAGCAUUCCUGAAUAUGAAUUGACGAAUUACAGUUUUGUAACUUUGUGCACGUACUACCUGUGUAUCCAUCGACAUUUUAAAUGAUUCAACGGGCAAAAUCCUGACAUGAGAAAAUAUGAGUUCGAAAUGAAUCAUUACUUGUAUAUGCAUGAAACACAUGGAAAUUUGAUAUUUGAUGAGCUCAUACUUGUCCUCCAGCCAUCUCAUCUCGAUUCGACUACCCCCUAAACUUGUUCGACACCUUCCUUAGUAGUUGCUCGCAUGUUACAGUCCAAUCAACACUAAUCAGGCCCUAUAAUGACUUCCCCAUUGACCGGUAGACUGAGUUGUAAACUAACGUCCUAAAAUGUAAUCGUACACUCACCGCAGGGAAUAUGUAAUGUGUGUGCCUCGUGUGCCCAUCUUUCGACCAAGGCACUGAUAAGUGGGGAAUCCAAUUUAUUCCUUUCGAGCAUGCGAGCUACGUAUAAAAAUCAUACAUCUUGCAAGUGUCCAUAAAUGACACUCGAUGCACCUUCACUUAAAUUGUUUAUGUACGUCUCCAAAAUCCGAUCUUUAGGUUGAGUAUAUAAACAUAAAAAAAUAAUAAUCUAAACAUCAUAAUAAUUAACUACUUAAAAUUAAAUAAUUUAAUAAUUAUUUCUUACUAUUUGUUAAUGCCGGAGAUAUGCUUGUCAUCCAAACAAAUAAGUUGAUUUACGAUUUAAAAAUUUUAAGGAAUAAAAUAAAAUCGAAGAGAAUAGAAUUCAGAAAAAUAAUUAAAAAAGUAAUUGAGAAAUGAGAAUUGAUAAUUAAGAAUUGAGGAUUGAGGAUUGAGGAUUGAGAAAUGAAAAUUGAGGAUUGAGAAUUUAGGAUUGAGGAUUGAGUAUUGAGUUGAAAAGAAUGAGGUUUGGAGGGGGUUUAUAAAGGAAAAAUUGUGGUUGUUGGACUCCUUUUAGUCGUUGAAAAAGUUACAAUUGGAAUAGUUACUGUUGAAAGAAAAUGCAUCCUAUAGGGUACUUUUUUUUCUCUCUCUAAAAACAAUGCAGAUCAAUAAAUUAAAAAAAACGGCACACUUUCUUAGUUGCUUUUUUUAGCAUAUUUAUAAAAAUUAUCCCCUACAUUUUAGAUUUUUGGUUUUUAAUAGAUUUAAUUUGAGUUUAGUCUAAAAUUUGGAUUCAAAGGUCUUUCAAUUUAUAGGUUUUAAAAUUUCAUUUUUCUAAAUUUUAGAAUUUUUAAGUUCUUAAUGUUAGAUUUUAAAAUCCUAGAAUUUUAAGUUCAAUUCCGCUUAUUUUUAGAAUUUUAUAGUUUUUUUUAGUUAACCUUGAAAUUUAGAUAAUAAUUGUAGAAUUUCGAAUUUCAUUUAGUAUUAUAUAUUUAGACAUCUUCUUUCCUUUUUAUUAAGUUUAUUCGGAGUCAAGACUAGAAUUUUAAAACCUUAAACAUUAAGCCUUGUAUUCGAAUAGGUAUUGUAAGGAUGCUUUAACCUUUUCUACACAUAAUUGUAUUUUAGAACCCAUAUUUGAUUAUAAGAUCAUGCGAAGAUUUUCCCUUUGAUUUGUUUUAGGAUUAACUUUAAAAUUUUGGGUGAUAGGUGACUAACCGACCAAGCUCAAAUUAGUUAAUGAUAACUUCACUUUUUAGUUUUUUGUGUCUAGCUUGUUAGGUUCAUCCCUAACAUAUUAUGACAACUUAGCGACUCCACCACGAACUCUAGUUUCAAGAGUCUAUCUACUUUAGGGCUUGGCUUUAAGGUUUUUGUUGUAAGUUGAAUAUGUAGUUAUAUUUGUUGUAAAUUGUCAUUCACUUUACACAUGAAUUUGAUCCUAUUCCCUCAUUCGGCCUAUUAGGAAGAGUGGUCUUGGGCUUUCAUGUAGUCCUUUCCAUAGCAUAAAUUAUUUUUUAAAAUCGAUAGUAGAUUUAUCAUUUAUUUAUUGAUUUCUUUAAGUGUUUAUAUGUCCAUGUUUAUAAUUCAUUAAAAGUAAAAAUAUAUAUAAUGUUAAAUGAUUCAAAAAAAUAUUUUAUAAAAUCAAUAGAAAAAAAUUAUAAUGCAACUAUCCGAUUGGAUUGGUAAUCGAUUGAGAUACCGAUCCAGAAAGGUAAAAAUAGGUGAUUUACAAACUGAGCUAAAAACAGUUGAACCGAUUGAAUUGUAUUUUAUAAUUAUUAAUAUUUUUUAUAUUUUUUAAUAAUUUACUUGAUUUAAAUCGAACAGACUCAAAAUCGACAGUUUAGUUGGUUUGAUCACUGAUCCGAUUUUAUUAAUUUUUUAAAGAUUUUAUUUUUAAUUACAUUAAUUAACAUAAAAUAACAUUUUUUAUUUAAAUUAUUGGAUAAAAUUAAAAUAUAUUAACUUAUUAUAAAUAUAUAUAUUUCUUACAUUAUUUUUUUGUUAAUGUUACACAAUUAUAUAUAUAUGCUGGAAGUAAUGGAUGCUCAAUUAUCUGUCAAUAUGCAGCCUUGAUUGGAUUUGUGUUUUUGUAUGUUUCAAAUAGUUUGUUUAUUUGUAGGGAAAAUCUGAAAAAGAAUAUGAUCAAUCAGAGGGGUUCCGACAGGAGUUGAAAUUGAAGGUUCGAGAGUUGUUGAUAGAGUAGUAAUGGCAUCGGAGAAAAAUGGCGAUAAGGGUAUCUUCAGAUAUCUGAAGAAGUUCAAUAAAAGAAGGAUGAAGAAGAGCAAAACGAGAUGUGGAUAAUUAGGGUUACCUUUCUUUUGAUUUAUGGUAUCCCUGUUUGGGGGCCUUUUUUAUUAAUGAAUUCAUCGACUUAGAAAAAAAAAAAAGCCAUGUCCAGAACUUGUAUAAUAAAUACCUUCAAGAGGUCAAAAAACAUUGAGUGAAACAAGUAUGAAUUCUUGGGCGACCACAAGACCCCACCAAUGUGACAAAUAGAGAAGCCAAAGGUUAUCAAUCAAGAGAAAUAGUUUCAGGAGUGUUGGAAACUAGAAAGAUGAAUUUAAUGGAAAAGUUUCACUGUUGGAUGUAAUUGUCCUAGGCAUUGAACUACUAGGAUUGGACUCCCAUGAAUGGAUUAUGUCAUCUAUUUCAUAUUCUUCAUCACCAUGGUCUUCAAUAAUAUUUCCACCUGAAGCUUUAAUCAACUCCAGCUCCAUUGCAACUUGUUUCAUGGUGGGUCUUUUCUUUCCAUUAAGAUUCAAGCAUCUUUUUGCUAGAAGAGCCACAACUAUAAUCUCCUGCUCUGGACCAUCCUUUACUACCAUUAGAUCGAGAAUGUUAAAUAAGGAAUUCUCUUGCAUUGAAUCCAAAAAAUAAGAUACCAAGCUUCUCACUGGCUCUGAUUGUUCUGCGGAGAUGGGUUUUUGUCCUGUUAAAAGCUCAAUAAGAACAACUCCAAAGCUAUAAACAUCACUCUUCUCUGUAAAUUGACUUGAUCGAAAAUAUUCCGGAUCCAUGUAUCCAAAAGUUCCUUGCACCCGAGUGGUUAGAUGUGUUUGUUCAAGUGCAACUGAUUUUGAAGAUCCAAAAUCUGAUACUUUUGCCCUAUAUUUAUCAUCCAAAAGUAUGUUACUAGAUUUGAUGUCUCGAUGAUAAAUAGGAGCAGAAGCAGCUGAAUGCAAAUAGAACAAGGCAUUGGCAAUUUCAAUCGCAAUUCGUAAACGCAUUUCCCAUGUCAAUGGUAAUUCUUCAUUUUGGUUAUGAAUGAGAUCGUAUAAUGUACCAUUUGGGAUGAACUCAUACACCAAUAGAGGAACUUCAGCUUCUAAACAACACCCUAAAAGCUUAACCACAUUCCUGUGAUUAAUUUGAGAUAAAAUGAUCACCUCGUUAAUGAACUGUUCAACCUUCUUUUCAUCAAAUUUCUUUCCUUCCACCAUUUUGGAUUUCUUAAUAGCCACAAUGCUUCCAUCUAUUAGCAUUCCUUUAUAAACAGUCCCUUGACCUCCUUGACCAAGGAUUCGAUUCUCAUUAUAAUGAUUGGUGGCCUUUUCCAUCUCUUUUGAAGUAAACAACUUAAUUUUUUCAACAUUACCUUCAUUGCUAGACAAAUGUUGUUGCAGUAACAAACCUCCAUUCCUUUUGAAGUAUUUCUGCUUCAGCAUGAUUUUUUGUUUUCUUUUGAGGACUUUGUACAUACUCCAUGUUGCGAGUAGUAGAAAUAGUGUCCCAACACUAGUGCUGCAACCUACAUAGAUAUAAGAAACAUAGUUAAAAGGUAAAUUUGAAAAAUAAAGUACAUGUUAAAAAACCAUGAAAAUGUUUCGAUAAAGUUUUAUUCAAAUUUGAUAGCCCAAUGAAGAAUGAGUGAACCUUAUUGCACCAUCCAUUGUUUUGAUAUUGAACUUUUACAAAUUUAAUGAUAAAUAACUAUUACUGCAUCACACAUUCAAAAGUAAAUAUAUUAUUGCUUAAACUAAAAUAAUUCAAUAACCAUAAUGAUUCCACUUUAAAAACAAAUACGUACCUACAAUAAUGCUUGUCAAGCUAUGCUUUUUUUGAGUAUGUAUUUUGCGCUCACAACGAAAUCCCGUACUAUUGAAUUCAUAAUGAGGAGGGCAAGACUUUGAGGAGCAAUAGUUACUAGGGAUAUUCAAACAAAGCAUGCUGCAAUACUUAUAAUUCUCACAUUUCUCAUCUGUCAUUUAUGAAUUGAAUAAAAAGAUAUUAGAAUCAUAUAAUUCGGUUAAAGUAUUUGAAAGGUCUUUCUAUUAAACGGAUUUGAUCAAAUUAGUUUUUAUAUUAUUAAAUGGAUCAAUUUAGCCUCUAUACUAUUAAAAAAAUAAAAAAAAAAGUUUAAAUUAUAACAUUAUUAACAUUUACUACAUAAAAAAUAUCUUGAAAAUUAUUUUUUUUCAAUUUCUGUUCAAUUUCAAACAACAUAUUUCAUUUGCAAACCAUAAAAACUUUAAAAAUAAUUAACUCUAUUAAAGAGUAAAUGAAUUUUUAAAUACUAAAUGUUAAGUAUAUUCUAAUUUAGCCUUAUUUAAUUUUUUUUAUAGUAGAGGGAUUAAUUUGAUUAAGUUCUAGUGGGACUCUCAGGUAUAUUUAAUUAUUUUUAAUAGUAGAGAGAUUAAUUUGAUUAAGUUCUAGUGGGACUCUAGGUAUAUUCAUUCGUAUAAUUCAAUAGAUAUUAAUUUAGUAAUGCAAACCAAAAUAGAAGUUAUUUUGAUAUCUAAUUUCAUUUUCCUUUUUGUUGGUUCAAAUUAUGCUUAGGAGUAUUCUAGCAAUAUGUACGCAGAACCAUUAUUUAGUUGAUUGAGAUUUAGUUAAAUUAGCAUUACUCUUAAUUAUUGUAACAGUUAAAAUGAGUUCAAAUGUGAUUAAAUUUGAAAGUUAAAUACAAUUAUCAAAAACAAAAAACAAAAACGUAUAGUAGUUUUGUUUAAGAGGGAUGGAUAAUUUUUUAAUAUAUAUAUUGAAGGUUAAUAUUUUGACAAUUCAUUCACUGAAUUUAAUAUUUUAUUCAUAUAGAUCGUGCAUGUCAAAUUUGACGUAAAUUAAAAAUUUCCAACCUUUCAUUUUAUGUAAAAAAUAUUCAGUCUAUGAAUAUAUUGAGUAUUGUAGAUCAAUAUGAUAGAGAUAUCGGAUGGGUUCGAAAAUUUACAUGCAUGACAAAUACAAUUAUAUCUAUAAAUUCAACGGUUGGACUGUUAAAAUAUUAAUCGUAUAAAGAGAUAUGAAAGAGUGUAAAACUGAUGUUGUUUUAAAAAAUUUAUGUAACAAUUUAUUUAUUAAAAAAUGAUAUAAAAAAUAGGAGUUUGAUUGAAAUGGUAAAGUUAAGAUAUUAGCUAUCAUGGUGCCUUUGUUCAAAUUUCAUUACACUCAUUUUUCUAGAUUUUACAUAAAUUAUAAAAUAACAAAAAUACUCUCAUAAUAAUAUUUGUUCUUGUAUAAAAGUAAUAAAUUUUCAUAAUUUCUCAAUCGAGUUGAAACUCAAUUGAUGAGUGACACCAAAUCAAUUAACCUAUUAAAGAAUAGUACUGUUUUAAGGCACACCCAUGAUGUGAGCGGAAAACAUUAUGUAAUAAACAUAUUGAAUUAAAGCUUAUAUAAGAAUCAAAUGAAUCGUAAUGAUAAAGUUAAAUAUUAAAAUUUAUUGUGUGAAAGAUUCAAAUGUCACCAUGUUAGAUUUAUUAUGAAUUUUAUAUAAAAAAAAUAGAAAAAAAAUAGAAUACCCUUAAAAUAAUAUAAAUUAACUUGUAUAUAAAAAUAUUUUAAUAAUUUUUCGAUUGAAAUAUACCUAUAAGCAAAUAUAAUAUAGAUAUAAGAAAAAAAAGUUCCCAAAAAAAAACAUUAAUUUGUACCUUGGCAUGAGCUCGAAUCACCGAAAUCAUUGCUGUAGCAUACACAUAGAUGUUUAUAGCUCAACUUCGACCAACAAUAUUGACCAUCGGAUGUACAAUAAGUGUCCGAGCUAUCAUUCAAAUGGCACACUCCAAAUAUUGGUGUGCCCCAUUGCAGUCGUGUUGGGACAUACGCCCUAUUACUUAUAUCAAACUUCAGAUCAUAGUUAUAAGAAAUCAUGGAAGCAAACCCGCAUGAUCUUUUUCUCCUAUAAUCACUAUUACUCAUGUUUACGUAGAAUGAUCUGAGACCUUGAGGAAUAUUAAUAAGACAACCAUCAGUAGAGGAAGUCUCAUUAUUAAUCCUACAGCUUGGUUGCAAACAUCCACCUAUAAGAUUAUAUGUUUUGUUGAAAACAGUAACCAUAUUACCGCAACCUGAAGACCAAAAUUUGUUGUAGGAAUCUGAGUAGUAAAAAGGGGUGCCUGUUAGAUUGAGACUCAUCCCAUUAUGAUGGUUUUUGCGACAGUUAAAGUAAGUUAUUGGAUGGUUGAUUGUGACAGUACCGUAAAAAAAAUCAAAGGCUAGUAUUUUUAGAUUCGUGCCACUUAUAUUUAAGAAAGGCCCUUUUUUUCCAUUGGUGGUUUUGUCGCAAAUUACUUUAAACCAGUCUUUGGGAUCAUCUUGGCCCUUCACUCUAAAGGGGUAGUUAAAAGUAACAUUCCCACAUGACUCUACCUUGUAGAAGUUGAUGGAUACGCAUCCUGCAGGCUUAGCAAAAAGGAAGUAAAUUGCAAAAUCUACUAAAUGUAUAUACAUCUAAUAUUUGUAGAAAAUAAAAGCAACGUGUCAUUCAAAAAACAAAAAAUAUAUAAUUAUCGAAGCUACAUAUGAAAAGUGUUACUCUUAAUUAAGUUUAUGUGUUAUUUGUCACAUUAAAUUCAAUAAAACUUUCUUAUUAUCAAUAUAAAUUUUAUGGUUGAAUUUGAUGUCAUACAAUAUUUCUAAUUAAAAAUAUGUUUAAGGGUGUAAAAAGCCCUCAAACUUUUUUAAAAAAAAGUAAUUAAGUUUCUAUUUUUGUUUUUUGUACUCAAUUAAAUACUUGAAUUGUCAAAAUGCAUCAAAAAGUCUUUUAACCAUUAAAGUUAACUGCCCCUAGUUUUUUUUUUUUCAGUUAAAACUACCAUGUGUCAUAACCAUAGCGUGAUAUGUGACAAAGAAUGAUAAAAAAAUAAAAAUCAAUUAAAGAUAUAAAAAUUAUUAAAUUUUAAUAAAAAUAUUUAAAAGUUAUUAAAAAUUAGAAAAAAAAUUGUAAAAAAAUUGUAAAAUUUUAUAAAAAUAAUUAAAAAUUUAUCAAAUAUAUAGAAAUAUAGAAAAAUCAUAUAAUUUUAUAAAGUCGUAAGAAAAUUAUAAAAAUGUAAAGAAAUAUAAAAUUUUUAAAAAAUUAUAAAAACUAUUGUAUCUUGAUUUUAUAGCUAUUAAAUUUUAAUAAUUUUUAUUUCUUUUAUUGAUUUUUACUUUUUAUUAUUUUUUACCACAUGCCACGUCAUGUUGACACAUCAUAGCUUUAACUGAAAAAAGAAAAAGAAAUUAAGGGUUAUUAACUUUAACAGUCAACGAUUAAAGUUAACUGUCAAAUGGCCUUUUUAUCCAUUUUGAUAGCAUAAAAGCUUAAUUGCUUUUGUUUAAAAAGUUUUAAUUACUUUUUACACCCUUAAACUUUAAAAAUACUUCCUUUUUCUUUUUAUCCAUUUAUCGCGGGUUUUCUCUUUUUACAUAAUAAUAUUCUAAAUAUUAAAUUCUUAUACUAAUGUAUAAUUCAACUUAUGAUCAUUUCAAAUUUUUUUAUGGAACUAAUGAUUCAAUUUUCAAAAUAAAUGGACUUCAUUUAAAACAAAAUUGUGUAAAUCAUGAAAUGAAUGGAAACAUAAUAAAAUGUAAUAAAAAAUAAAAAUGGAUAAAACGAACAUGAAGCCAGCGGUGUCCUUAGUCCAACAAAUUAGUAAACUACACCUUUCUGCCUCUCUCAAAAGAAUUAAUAAUUUAGCAUAAACACUUUAACCCUUGAAUAAAUAUGUAAAUUUACAUUUUUAAACUCCUCUAAAAAAUAAUAAUUUAAUCUCAUUUAAGUAUUAAUUUAACUGAAUUAAAAGAAGAAAAAUGAAAGCCAAGCAAUUGAAAUGACAGCGCGUGACUGACCUCCUUCACCGCAAUAGCUGGAAUUCCAGUUGAGCACGGCGGGAACAUGCGUGGUUCCAUUAUUGAUGCCACUGGGUAAUGGGUAAGCAUCACGGAAAGAGUACUUGCUAAAGAUGAAAGCAGAUGCGCAUCCUUUGCUGUCAGGAUACAUGGCUCUCAUUUUUACGGUAUAGGAAGUGAGAUUUGCAGUAAUUUCAGUAAAGCAGCCAGAUUCAGAAGCACCAUCGUCACACCUUGGUUGACUGCAGCCGCCAAGUGAAACAGCUUCGCUACGUAAAAUAGUAGCCAAAUUUCCGCAACCUACUGACCCGAAAUAAUUCAUAUCACUUGAGAAGAAAAAAGGAGUGCCUGAGAGAUUGACCCUCACACUAGCCUCGUUUAUACGAUCACAAUUAAAGUAUGUAACUGGAUAGCUGAUGAGAAUGGCGUUUGAAUAUAAGGAUUUUCCAAGUACCUCCAGAUCGAUGCCCUUUACGGUUAUGAAAGGCUUGGCCCCAUUGAGGGUUUGGUUGCAAGUUACACUAAACGAAGGAUGAGUAUAGCAUCUGCUGUGGAUUCCAAAAGGGGAUGGAAUUGUAAUAUUUCCACAUACUUCUUUACCACAGGUAGGUUCUUGAGACUCUGCUGCUUGUAAAAUUGGGCACAACAGGAAGAGGAAGAGGAGUAGGAGAAUGAAGUAAAGCGGUAAGUGAAAACCCAUUUGCGUUGUUAUUUUGUUUGAGGGAAAUGAAUGAAGAAGUCACUAAUAGAUUUUAAAGAAACAAAUGAUGCUUGACUGAUAAGCAAAUGAAAAGUCUUUGUUCACACUUUCCUUGAAAACUUUUAAAUAUUUUAAGUCAUAACGUAAAAUAGAAAGAUUGCUAUUAUAGAUUAAGUACUCAUUAGUUCAAUUCUACUGACAAGUGAAUGAAAGAAAUGAAAGAAAACUUGUCUAAGUAUUAAAUCUAGCUCAUACAAAAUUAAAAUCAAAUGAUACAACAGUUGAAGAUACUUGUGAUUAUAGUAAAUUUUAAUCAGUUUUGUACUUUAUUUUUUAAUCAAUCAAAUAGAUAUAUUUAUUAUUAAUUGUUAUGUAUAUACGAUCCUGGUUGUCGAUAAAGGCAGAAGGGAGGAGAUAGCCCCUUGCCCAAAAUAAAGAACAUUAUCCUUAAUGAGUGAUAGCAAAGGUGAUUGUUGUUUACAACAACUUGAGAAGAAAUUUUCAAGUAUUUUCAAUGGAAAAGUAUAUACACAAAAUGAUAGAAAAGGCGUUGAUCAACAUCUCUAAAUGGUUAAAUCAAAUUAAAGAUGGAAUCGUCAUGACAUCAACAUCUUAUUACUAAAGGAAAUAACUUGAAGCCAACGCCAAUUUGUAAUCAUGUUAGUAUAUAUGAGUAAUAAUUUUGUUAAUUAAUUAUCGAUAAAUUUUCUAAUUAAUUUUAAAUUAGCACUUAGUACACCUACAUCAUGUUCUGGGUGCUCCGUACGUUUUUACUAAGUAAUGAUUUUCCAAUUUCGAUUUAAGACAAAUUGCAAUUUCGGAUUCAAAUUAUAUAAGAAAUUUUCCCUUCUAAAAAAAAUUGAAAACGCCAAAACUUAAUCCAAUUUAAUUGCUAAGAAAAAUGGCUCUGACGCUGAAUUAAGCCUAUGAAAUUAGCAUAAAUUGAUAAAUUUUCUUUGCAAUUGUUUGGAAAUAAAAACAAGCAGGUGAUUGGCUCAUGUUGGUUUUGGUGAGAAAGUAAAAUAGCAGCCAACAUGCAUGCAUUUGUUUUUGUGGAAAAUUAAAUUAAAACCAAGGAGGAAUCAUUAUCAACAAAUAUGGACCAUAAGAAGAUUCAUUCCUUUUAUUAUAUAUUAUUCAUAUUAACAACAUAGAAAUUUCCAUGAAAAAGUAAGUUCCAUGACAUCCACGGAAGCAAUGACAACAAUUGCAAAAAGACCUUGACUCCUCUAGAAAUCCAUCAGUUUGGAAACUAUAACGUUUAUGCCACAACCAGAUAAACAUUUUAGAAAUAUCUGCUCUCCAAAGUCAUCUUUGUUCAUCUUCAAUUUCGUCCUUAUAUAAACAAAACUCCAACAUAUAGAAAAAGAAAUGAUAGCCCUUGAAAUCCUUAAUAUCCAAACCAUAUUUAAGCAUAAGAAAUUUGCAUAGGUGACGAGAAAACGGAAUCUGAACUUAAUGGGCAAUUUCGUCACAGUCAAGCUAAAGUUUAACAAUUUAGGAUCUUUUAUCUAUAUGGUGUUCCACUUUUAUAUAUGUAUAUUUCCAAGUUUUUCAAUCUGAAUUCGGUUCAAAGAAAAGGAAAUUACUUUAAAUUUGUAUAAUUAAUUGGAUUCAAAAAUAUUUUUUAAUAAUUUGGCAUGCCACAUUAGUAUACUUUCACAUAACUUCUUAUGAAUCUCACAUAACACAUUAUAUGUCAAUUUCUCAUGAAUUUCGUAAACACUGUUAAAUGGAAUAUGUCCACCACCUGCUUAAAUUGAAUUAUUAUAUAACUUAUCCAUUGCUUAGCAAAGGUUGCAUUGCCUACACUUUGGUUCAUCAUGUGCCCACCCCACCCAUUUUAGAUGUUCAUUUUACUAUUUACUUUGAAAAAGAAUAAUCAUCCCAUUUAUUUAUUAAUGUUUUGAAAGAAAAUUCUGUCUAUCCAAUUUAUUGAUGAUGCAUAAAAAUAAUUCCUUAAAGUUUUACUAAUAAAUUUUAAAAAUAAUUCUUUUUGUACAUAUUAUAAAUGUGAAAGGGUACGAAACUCAUGUUUGAAGUCUUGCUAACUCAAUCACUUACUAAAACCAAAUUAAAACAAUUAAUUUUACAGUAGUGGCCAUAUGGCACUUUUUAAUUUCACUUCUAAUAUAUAAAAGUGAAGUCUUUUCUUUCUAUAAUGAAAAAUGAAAAUGUGAGAUAAUAAAAUAAUAUCAUCUAGACUUAAAUUAAACGUAUAUAAAAGGUAUUUAUAUUGAGCUGCAAAAUUAAAUUUCUUUAUUAAAAGACUUUUAUCUAAAUUUUAGGUCUAAUUCAAACAAAAUUAAAUUUAAAUUGUACAAUAGAUGAAGAUACUUGUUAAUUUGAAUUAAUUCUUUGUUUUUUAAUCAAUCAAAUAGGUAUAUAGGCUAUGGAUGCCAUUUACGUUUAUGAAUGGCUUUACCCCAUUGAGGGUUGGGUUGCAAGAUCACUCUAAACCAAGGUUUAGUAUAGCAGGUGCUAUGGAUUCCAAAAGGGGAUGGAAUUGUAAUAUUUCCACAUACUUCUUUACCACAGGCAGGUUCUUGAGAUUCUGCUGCUUGUAAUAUUGGGCACAACAUGAAGAGUAGGAGGAUGAAGUAAAGCGGUAAGUGAAAACCCAUUUGCGUUGUUAUUUGGUUUGAGGGAAAUGAAUGAAGAUUUAAAGAAACAAAGGAUGUUUGAGUGAGAAGCAAAUGAAAAGUAUUUGGUCACACUUUCCUUGAAGUUCCAGUGUAAGUGCAUUUGAUUUGAGAAUAAUUCAUUAAUUUGCAAAGACUGUUGGAUACAAUUUUCCAGCUACACGUAA